GAGCAACUCCAGUAGUUCUCUAAAAAAUAGCUUGCUAAAAUCAUGUUUAGCAAGUUGCUAAAUAGCUAUUGGAAGUAAAAAAUAACUUAGUCUCCAAUAGUUGCUCAUAUUUAGGAAGUAGUUCGAUUUUGAAUCUAGCUUUAGCGGCCCUACCUCUAUGAGAUCUGCCUGAUAAUAAGGUUGAGAGCAGAUGAUGUGAGAGCGGAAGAAAAAAGGCCGGUCGAUAUGAACUAUGGAUGAGUGGUGGUCCGGUGGCUCAACCUAUGAGGAAGUUGGGUUCGACGGUGAAGGAGAAACUUGCGUCAUACGUGUUUGACCUAGCUACCUCAUUAUGCUAGAAAAUGAAAAAAGAGCGUGCUAUACCUGGCUAUCUCACUGUGUGGGAAAGGGAAAAAUAAUCACGUUAGUGUGAAGAAAUUGACGUCAACUGUAUUUAGGGAGUUCCUACCGAGUUGCUAAAUGUGGAGAGUAAAUAGAGUUGAAUAGCAACUAAGUAAAUUUAGCAAGUCUAUUUAGAGAACCAUUGGAGAAGCAUUUUUCUGUUUACUUCUUAAAUUUAAGAUUUAGAGAGUUGUUUAGAGAACUAUUGGAGUUGCUCUUACUAGUCUAUAGCGCCGCUUCUCCAGUCUGAAUGGCAAUUGGCAAUAAGCUGGAGCGCUGGAUCGUCACGUGAUUAGGUAUCAAAGGAUCGGAUUGAUGCGGUUGUGAUGGAGCUUUACUUGCUCUGUCAUGUGGUGGCAUCGUUGGUACAAAAGACAAGUGCUAUUUUUUACUUGCCAUCCUUGAUGGAUGCAUGACGAAAACUAAACGCAUGCAACCGUGUUUAUCCCAUUACUCGGCGCAAUAAAUCCAACAAAUAUUAUGUUAAUAGUACUAACCUGGGUGUACCGUGUUUACGUAGCCGUGGCUCAACACGUAAAACAGAAAGUCAUGAGCAAGAGAAUCAAUGAAAUUAUAGUUUGCUAUUUUUACUGAGUCCAACUCCACGACGAAAGCACGUCGUAAUUUUUUUUAAAAUUUUGUUUUUGUUAUACUGAUUACUUCACUUACUUUGCAAUCUACUAAAAAACAUUAGAUCAACAUCUACACAGAGUCGUGAGCAUAUGAUAGUUGGUUGGAAUUGCAUUUUAUUGUUCUCGUUGAGUCUAACUUCGUUGGUAAGAAAGCGAACUAAAAGUUGAAGCGUUUUUUAAUUGAUAUUCGAUGAUUUCACUUGCUUUGCAAUCUACCCAAAAAAAAACAGUAGAUCAUCAUGCACACAGAGAGAGCCGUGAGCACGAGAGUUGGAUGGAACUACACUUUAUUAUCCUCGGUGAGUCCAACUCUAUCGAUACGAAAGCGAGCUAUGUGUUGAUAACUGAUGAAUUCGCUUACUUCACAACCUGUCAAAACCAGUUGCGCAAAAAAAACCUGUGGGCAAGGGAGUUGGUUGGAAUUGUAUUUUAUUAUUCUCACCGGGUCUUACUCAGUUGGCACGAAAGCAAGCUAGUAGUCGAAACGAUUUUUGUACUAAUGGCUUUGCUUGCUUUGCAACCUACUAAGAAACAAUGGCUCAACAUGCACACGCAAAGUUGUGAGCAUGAGAGUUGGUUGAAAUUUCAUUUUAUUAUCUUUAGCGAGUCCAACUCUAUCGAUACGAAAGCAAGUCGAAAGUUAAAGCGUGUUUUGCCGUGUUUGUUUAUCGGUGACUUUACUUUGCAACGUACCAAAAAAAUAGUGGCUCAACACGCAUACAGAAAACUGUGGGCAAGAGAGUUGGUUGGAAUUGUAUUUUAUUAUUCUCGGUGAGUCUAACUCCAUCUACACGAAAGCAAGCCCAUAGUUGAAGCGUUUUUUCUACUAAUGACUUCGCUUGCUUUGGAACCUACUAAAAACAAUGGCUUAACACGCACACAGAAAGUUGUGAGCAUGAGAGUUGGUUGGAAUUGCAUUUUAUAAUCCUUAGUGAGGUCCAACUCUAUCGAUACGAAAGCAAACCGAAAGUUGAAGCGUUUUUGUCUUGUUAAUAAUUUAUGACUUCGCUUACUUUGCAACAUACCAAAAACAAUGGAUCAACACAGACAUAGAAAACUGUGAGCUAGAGAGUUGGUUGGAAUGGUAUUUUAUUAUUUCUGUGAGUCUAACUCCAUCAACACGAAAGCAAUACCAUAGUUGAGCGGGUUCUUUACCAAUGACUUCACUUGCUUUGCAACCUACUAAAAACAAUGGCUUAACACACAGAGAAAACUAUGAGCACGAGAGUUGGUUGAAAUUGCAUUUACUAUCCUUAAUGAGUCAGCUUUAUUGAUACAAAAGCAAGCCGAAAUUGAAGCGUUUUUUGUUGUGUUGAUAACGAAUGACUUUGCUUACUUUGCAAUCUACCAAAAACAGUGGUUCAACACGCACACAGAAAACUGUGAGCAAGAGACUUGAUUGGAAUUGUAUUUCUUAUUCUUAGCGGGUCUAACUCCAUUGAUGUAACACCUUAAAUCCAUCAUUUAAAAGCAAUUUGAUUUUAUUUGAUAAAUCCAUUAGAGAGGAAAAUUAUCUUCAAGAGUUAGGAAAACAUUCAUAAACAACUAAUUAACUUUUGGAGUAUACAAAAUUUUCACUCAACUGUUUGAUGCAUUCAUUUUUGGAGCAUGGCUUUUGUUUGUUAAUUUAUUUCAAAGGUUUAUUUAUUUUUGGAAUUAUUACAUUUUUCUGAAUAUAUAUAUAUAUUAUAUAUUCAUAUAGUUAAAAAAGAAAAAAACCAGCGCUCGACCAGACCAAUUUUGGCCCAGACGAGGCCCAUUAGAGCAGCCGCGCGCACCCUCAUCCUCCCCAACCGAGCCCCUCCUUUUCCCCCUUCCUCCCUCUAUGGCACGCGGACCCACCCCACGGCCCUCUCCUCCCCCUCGCGCGUCGCGCGGCAGUCUGGGCACAACACGCCGCCGCCGUGGCACGGCUCGCCCAGCGCCGAGCCGGCUGCCCGCCUGACCGCCUCCCCACCUCUUCCCCUUCCUCGCAAGUGGAGCACCAGGAACCGUCGUGCCCCUCCCUCUUCCUCUCCCCCACUCUCGCUCCCCAUUGAGGUCACGCCAUUGAUGACGUUAAUGGCCGCCGCCGACCAUUACUUCCUCUCCGGCGCGCUCUCUCUCUUCUCUCUCUAUAAAAACUCAAUGCCACACCCAUGGACACUUCCCUCGGCCGCCGAGCUCGCCCACGCCUCUCCUCCCUCUUUGUCGUUGUACUUCGCCGCCGGCCGACCUUGGCUCGCCGUCCUCGACGUUCGUCGCCACUAGAACACCUCUGUCCACGUCCUCGCCACCGACUCGAGCUCGGAGCGCCACUAUCCACCUCCCUUGAUCGCCUCAUCCACCGCCGUCCGGAACUCCACUCGCUGUCAGCCCCUGAGCGCAAGAAACAGAGGGGGGAAGGUAGAAGAAGUGGAUUUUUGCUAGCUAGCCCCUGGUGUUUGUUUAAUUUGUGCAGAAUUAUUUUAUCAGCUCAAAAGUGUUAUAUUAGGUCCUUGCAAUCUUCCGUUCUACCCCUAGAAGUCUAUGGUUAAUCCCGUAUGUGACCCCUGCAGCAACUAUUCUAUUUUAAAAAAUUUAAUUGAACCCAUAUGUAAUGAUGUUGAUCAUACAUGUUUUAUAUGUAUGUGUUAGCAUGUUAGAAUACUUUUUUGUGACAAGAUUCAUAUAUCCACAAAUCGAUUUAAAUUAUGUUGUUGUUGUUGUUUAAUCGUAGUUUCUGCUAAUAUAAGAAAUAGGAAGGAAUGGUAGACCAUAUAUUUGUAGCAUAAGCGCUAGAUGAUUAUUUAUGAGUCUUCCAUUGCUUAUAUUGUGAUUUGUAUUUGUAAACAAGACAAAUUUUCAUAUGCGCAAUAUAUGCACAUUGGUUUAUGCACUAAGAAAUAAUAGAGUUUUUAUUAAUAUUGAGAUGAUAUAAUUAUGAUCAUGCCCACUAUAGUCUAAAAGGUAGUUUAAUAUAAUUCUUUUAAUGAACCAUACAUUAUGUGUCUUCUAGAAUAACUUCGUGGCGUCUAAUAUAGUACCUUUUAGAAAGAAAGAAUAAAACUUAUAUGUGACUUGUGUCUUCCGGUAGAAAUAAAUUAAUUAGUAAUUAAACCAAAUCCAUAGAGGUUGAUUUAAGCUACAUCUAUGUUAUGAACUUAUAUAGUAUUUGUUUCCACAGUUAACUUGCCAUAUAAUCGUUUCUAGGGAAAUAGUGAAGUAAAAUCAAUAAUAUUUUAUGCCAUAUGCGAAUAGAGUAACUACCACAAUAUUUUGGUUUAUAUUAUUAUAAGUUACGAACCAAGCUAUAUGAUUGGAUGUUCUCUUUCUUUUUUUAUAAUGUUGAAUUGUAUAAUGUAUGUUUUAUUGUUUGAUUGGUGUAUGUUUAUUUAUUGGUGUAUAAUUUCUUUUGUACGUACGAUAUGUGAAUCUAUAAUAGAAGCUGAUUUUGUGGUAGAAGAUCAGAAUACGUUCGAGGACGAUCCACAGGACACGUUUGAGUAAGGCAAGUGGAUUCUCCCUUUGCAUUUCUGUUCGUACCCAAAUAAUACAUAUAAUAAUGUUUACUUUUGAAUAUUUGCAUAAUUUGAUGGAUUUUGCCUAAAUAGGACUACUUAGAAAUACUAACCAUAUUCGUUGUUUAACCUAGGAUUUAAGCCAUGCUUAUUAGUUAUGUUGUUGCUCAAUUUUAUCACUAUGAUGUUACUCUUUGAAGAUAUUAUUUUUCCAGAAAUGAAAUAUAUAUUGUUGUUUUAAUCUGAUGGUUAAAUAAGAUCGAAUUUUAUUAAACGGAACAUGGAGUGACCACCUAAGAUAAAAGUGUAACCACGAGUGCUAUUAUGGCUCUGGCUUUGGUAAUUUGCUUAAUUUGCUUAGUACUUAGCAACCUUUCCUGAAAUAUGGGCAAGAGGAGGAGCGGUUGAUAGUGGCAGCUCAUGUUAACAUGGGGACGUAGUCUUGGCUAAGCUGCCUCGCCUAGAGGGCCUCCACACCGACUUAGAAACCUUAGCUGGUUGUUUCGUACUAUGUGUAUUUUGUGAAAACCUCAUAAUGGACCCCUAGCCAUUCACCUCAGCAGUGUUUACGGGUCCGUACAACCCAGGCUAGAUGGGAUACAUGGCUUGUGGGUAAAGUUGUACCACCUCUGCAGAGUGUCAAACUGAUAUGUCAACCGUGCUCACGGAGUCACAGUUAAGAGCAACCUGGACCCUUACAUGAUAACUAGACUUAAAGAUGGAGAAUCGAUCGUGAUCCGAUGAUUUAUACAUGGUUUGCUUAAGUGGUUUCACUUAGGUGCUUUUGAUAUAAUCAUAUGCUUAUGAUUAAUUGGGAAUUUUGGGAUACACUUACAAUUAGUAAGUUAGGCGUUGUUAAUAAAAUAUUGACCAACUAAAAUGCUUACCGCUUAACCAUAGCCUACCUUGUUAACCUUGCAUAACUCCUCCCACUUGCUGAGCCCCCACCAUAAGUGAGCUCACCCCUUGCUAAAUUUUUUAUCAGAAGGUGAUGAGAAAGACUUUGACGAAGAUAUUGACGAUUACUGAGUCUAGCGACGCUCCGGUCAUCUUUCUGUGGGAGAUUACCCAUGUUAUUUCUGCUGUACUUUGAUGAUGAUACUAUUUAAGACUUUUUUUGUCUCGAUGAUGUAAUAAAGUUAUUAUACUCCCUUUACACAUUUAUUGCAUUGUCUUUUGAUAUAUUACACUUGUGACAUCAACAUAUGUGUGGAAAGUGGUUCCUGACACACAUAUGCUAUGCAUUCGGUUUUGCCCCAAAACCGGGUGUGAAGAAGUGGUAUCAAAGUUAUGCUGACUCUAGGUCGUUAGACUAGUUAGAAAUGGAAAGCCCAGUCUAUUCAAAAUAUGCUUAUUUUGCCUUUACAAAUUUAUUUUAUUAAUUUUGCCUUUUUAAAAUUCAACUAAGGUGACAUUUUCUUCUUGUAGAUGGUGCGCACUCUCCAAACGACCCGCGUGAACACCAACGGUAUCCCUCCACCCAGGCAGGCUCCUUUCUACCAGUUGUGGUGGAAGAAGUCCCGGUGGAGCACCACCUUCAUGUGGGGAAUGGAGUGAUCUUGGAGGACAGCUCUGAGGAGAUUUUGGCAACACACACUCCAUUGUCAGAGUCUCAUGCCUUUGCUGCUGGAGCUUCAUCUUCAGUACCGCCAGUGCCAGCACCUCAAGCCCCGACUCCUAUAGGCGAUGAUCCGGAUGAUUCUGGUGAUGGUGGAGACGAUGAUGAUGAGACAAAUGAGAGCACCUAGAGGGGGGUGAAUAGGUGAUCUUGUAAAAAACAACUUAACAAAACAAACUUGGACUAGUAUUAGAUUAGUGAAAGCUAAGGCCAAGUUUGAGAGAGGAGUAUGAGCAGAGAAAACUUCUUCACUUAAUUGCUCUUCACAAGAUGAGUAUUAAACUUAGAGCAAUUAUGAAGUGAAUAGAAGUAGAGAGAAUCGCACAACAAUAAAGACAAGUGACACAACGAUUUUAUGACGUGGUUCGAUCAAGUAGAAUACUUGUGUCACACCCGGUUUUAGAAGGCAAAUCGAAUGCGAACCAUGUACGUACCAGGAUCAGAAACUCACGUACACAGCGAUUACAUAGUUGGACAUCAUCACACAUUGCUCAAAGUAAAUAGCGGAAAGGUACUUUAUUACAUCAAGAUGUCCAUGACAUCCACAGAGUAACAUAACAUAGUCAUUAACGUGAUCAAAGUGCGGAAUACAAAACAUAGAGAUAUGGCCUUCACAUGCAGCUGACUGGGUUUUGCCACUAACACAACUAGAACUCAUCGUAGUCCUGAAACUCCUUAUAGUUCUCCAUGUUGCCUGCAUCUCCUCCUAAGCAUUGAUUGCAAUGGGGACAACCUGGGGUGGGGUGGUUUUUAAAGCAAGGGUGAGUACACAUCAACGUACUCAGCAAAUGUCUCGUUUGGCUAAAGUAGACUAGCUGUAUGUGGAGUUUGGGUUAAAGCAGUUGCUUUUAGUUGGUCAGGUAUUUAUUACUAUUAGUAAGCCAAGUUUUAGUAAUAAACCCAGUUAUUACCCAAAAAUACUCCCUUCAAGAGGAAAUACUAGAGACCAAAAUUAUUGUCAUCAACAGUUAAAAUCAUCAUAAAGCAUCCAAAGUUCUUCUAAUCAAAGAGGAUCCCAAGGCCACUCUUAACCGUGAGCACGACUGAUAUACCAGUUUCUAACACUCUGCAUAAGUUGCACACUUUACCCACGAGCUGUGAUUCCCUUUCCAGCCUAGGUUGUCCAGCCCCAAUCUUCACUAAUGAGGUCAAUGGCCAGGGAUUCACUACAUAGCCUUUACAAAGACUCCCCUGGUGCAUAGCUUCUCGUUAGGUUUCGCCAGUCGUACAAACACAGUACUCCUCCCUAAGGUGGGUGACUAACAAAACCAAAUCGAAUAAACCUCGGCACCCACCCUUAGCAGAGCGAGCACUAUGCCCCGACCCCCAUUGACGGCCCUUCGGCAAAGCCAACUACACCCCAGGUUUAUCUAAUUAAUCAGCUAAGGGCGUCCCAUUCCACCCUCAUGGUUGUACUGUUAUCCCGGGUGGUCACUCAACGAACAGGUCCUUAUAGAGAGGUACUCAUGAAAACAGCCUGAGUCCCCUAAAAUGCCAUAAGAACAUCAUCAUAAUCAUAAUAACAACAUCGUAUCAUAAAUAUUCACAUCAUGUUCGUUGAUUAAAGUGGAGCAAUAGCAUGAAGCUAACCAUAAUAACCCAAAAGGUAAACAAGGGCAAGAUAAAUAUAGACUAGUCAAUCCUUAGGUUUCAAUUAAGUAAUGCAGGACAGUGAAUUAUAAAGUAAGUAGGACAUAAUGGGUCACAGAACACUUGCCUUCACUAGGUUGCUGCUUAGAAAGGUCUUCGACAACACACUUAGGAACCACAGACUGCUCGUUGUCUACGCAAAGCGAUCAUGCAUUCAACACAUUUGGAUAAUGACAAAGAAACAGUACAUCAAACAUGUACAAUUAAGUGAACACCAGCUCGAAAGAACAGUAAAAACACAAGAGGGAAAAAUGUAGGUUCUAGGGUAGGCAAUUACAUCUAGAGGUUUGUGGUUCUCUAAGUACUGCUUAUCUCAAUAGAUUACAUAACUUAAAUUCAUUUAUCAUAAUGAAUUACUAAAAUUAUACCAGAGAUGGAUUCAUAUAUUACACACUAUUAACCUCACAAAGUUAAUCAUCUAAUUAACAUUAGGGGUUUCCUUUUAUUUUUCUUAUUAAUAAAUAAGUCACCACUUACACUAACCUAUAGUCUAGGCAUAAAAUUAGCACAUGCAGACAGUAAAAGGUUAUAAUUCAAAUAUGUAAAGAAUAAUCUUAUGAACAUUUUGCAAUUUGUAUCACACAAUUUGGAGUCCAUAUGCAAAAGAUAUGAAAUAAACAAGUUUUAGAAUUCAAAAUACAAAACUAGGUCUAAUUCUGCGAUAAACAAAAAGGGCGGGGGCUUUUAUGUACAUACUUAGGGGCCUGCAUGAGAAACCCAGGGACGACGAGUUGAUUUUUAGAAAGCCGAGGGUCCUUUUAACAAAACUACCACGCGAAGGGGUAUCAGCUGAUCUCGACCGCACGAUCGCAGAUCAACGACCAUGAUUAAAUCUAAACGCCAGCGUGCGCGGGCGCGCGAGCGAGAACUGACAAGCGGGCCAAGGAUGUCAGCGACUGGGGAGGGGGAACGAGCUAACCAGCUAGGCCCAGUGCCAGGGGGCGCAGGCACUGACAGGCAGGGCCCAGGGGCAGAGUAUGCAGACACAUCUGAUAUCCGCAGAUCCGACCCGUUGGAUCGGGGACGAACUAUUGCGAUGGGGUGCGCGGGGUUUUAUAGCUCGGUUACCGGCGUUACUCACUACACAGUGGCAAGGUUGUGGGAGGAGAAGCAGACGCAGUCGCUGGGGGGUUUGGGGUCGCUGGUGAGGGCUGGAACUGACUAGGAAGGUUCGACGAACUCACUGGUAGGGCUCCGACCGCUAGAACAUGAUAGGUGACUGGAGAACGACGAAGGGGAUGUGCUCCGGGUGGGUCGGGCAACUCCGGCGAGGAAUCUUGACCGCGAGGAGGGGGUUUCGGGCGCGCUAAGGCCUGGACUGGCUUCGGCAAGGUAAGGGGAACACUGCGGACCAACGUAGGGGCACAACGCGAGGCUAAAUCGGCGUGGCGGACCGGCGCGACCAAACUCCGACGAGGACAAAUUGGCUAAGACCAUGCGAAAAUAAGGUAAACCAAGCACGGGAACGAGUUCCUCACCUCGGGACGAGCUCAGGGCGACUUGGCGCGACUUUUGGCGGGCUAGCCGACCGAUAGUGUGGCCGCGGAUCUACGGCGAGCACGGGUGGCAACGACAGCGCACGAGAGAGGGCAAGAGUGUGCGAAAUGAGGCAGGCGAGACAGAGCAGGUGUGGGCGGGUCUCAAAAAGAGCUGGGGUGCCUAUGCGAGCGACGUGGGCGGUCUCCACGGCAUGCACGCGGACGUGGGUCAGCGGCGGUUACGGGGAAGAUGGAGCUGACAGGGCUGGCCCACUGCGUAGCGAGAGAGAGCGAGUGCGCGGGCGAAUGGUCCAUGACGCUGACGAGGUGGGCCCGCAGCGCAGAGAAAGAGUGGACGCGUGUUCGAGAGAGAAGCGGCUCCACCGUGCAGAGGGAAAGGGGGAGCGAGAGUGCGCGGACGCGAGCCGUCGCUGAUAGGUGGGACCCACGUGUCAGGCGAAGAGGGCGCGCGCGGCCUAGUUAGGCUGGGCUAGGCUUGUUGGGCCGAAUUCGUCUUUCCUUUUUCCUGUGAUUUACCAAAUGCUUUUUAUUUUCUUGAUGGAUUUAAAAUCAAAUUCAAACCCAAUUCAAAUUCAAACGAAUUCAAACAUGUGCAUCAAACAAAAGAAUAAUUUAGGCUCAGCAUGAUGCAACAUUUCAUGACUCACAUGGGUUUUGCUAUAUUAAAUAAAUAGUUAAUCCCUCACCUAAUUGACAUCACUCUAAUAAAAUGGAAGAGAGUAGAAGUCUUGAGAGAGAGAGAGAGAGAGAAAUAUGAGAUAACACCUGAAUUUGGUAGACACUAGAGAAGAAAUUUUAUACCCUCAAAAUCAGGGUGUUACAAACCUAUCCUCCUUAAAAAGAAUCUCGCCCUCAAGAUUCAGGGUUGGCUAGCAAAGAGUUCGGGAUAUUUGGCUUUCAGAUCGUCUUCUCUUUCCCAAGUUUCUUCUUCCUUUGAAUGAUGGCCCAACUUGACUUUACACAUUCUGAUGGUGCUUCUCUGAGUUACUCAAUUUGCUAUCUCCAGAAUCUAGGUUGGUGUUGGGACUAUGCUUCGUCGCCGAAGGUCUUGUAGGAAGAAGCAGCUUCGGCUGAAGCUGUCCGCAUGAGAUGACUGAAGGAUCCUCUUCAUGAAGCUUCGGAAUUACAAACCGACUUAAAAGUAGAAUGACCUUUUAGUCCAUAAAUGUUUGGGUCGCUGUUGUAAUCCCUUAUAAGGGGCAUAAUUGUAAUUCCCCACAGGCUGUGUCCUGUGCCUAUAAAUAGUGAACAGUAUUCCUUUACUGUUCACGCAUUCCGGUAUUUACAAUCGCAUCAUUCGGGAACCAAUCUUUGUCAAGGCAAAGGUAUAACUGUAUUCAAUGAUUAAAUAUACUGAGUAGAUAUAAUAUGGUUCAUUUAUGAUUCAUUUACCUUUGAUACUCUAUAUUUUAUGUUAUCUUAUACAAUCUAUUAAAAUUCAAUUACGAAGAUUUAACCUUCGUAAUCGUAUUGUCAUCAACCUUUGUCCAAGGUCCAUUAAUCCCCAAGGGAAUAAUGCUUCGUUGGACGAAGGACAUUAACAUUUAACAUUUUAUGUUGCCUUGUUCUUAAUUCAUAGCAUUUGAGAACAAGUCCCCAACAUUGGCGCUCACCUCCGGUCAACUCACUUCCACUUUUUGAGCUGAUGGCUUCGAUUAACGAUCAAGCUGGAGCUGCUUCGGCCCCGAAGCUGGUGUUCCCGAUAACAGGUGGUUCAUGCUCAGAACCAGCCAACAAAAAGCAGAAGAAAGAGGCGCAGAGAAGGGUACAACAUGUUGGAGUGCAGGGACCCUUCAUCAAGUCAAGAUGGUCACACAUUCCAAUCACCUUCUCCCAAGAGGAUCUUCAGCUCAGGGAUUUUCCUCAUAACGGUGCUAUGGUUAUUUCUUACGUUAUCAAAGGAUUUCUGGUCCACAAUGUUUUGGUUGAUACAGGCAGUGCAGCUGAUAUUAUAUUUGCUAAGGCCUUCAGACAAAUGCAAGAGCCAGAAGACAAGAUUCAUGAUGCUACACACCCUCUCUGUGGCUUCGGAGGAAGACAGAUUGUAGCACUGGGCAAGAUCACCAUGCCAGUGACCUUCGGCUUCAUCAACAACACCAGAACCGAGCAAGUUGUGUUUGACAUUGUUGACAUGGAAUACCCUUACAAUGCAAUUAUUGGUCGUGGCACCCUCAAUGCUUUCGAAGCAAUUCUUCAUCCUGCUUACCUUUGCAUGAAGAUACCUUCGGAUCAAGGACCCAUUGCUAUUCAUGGAAGUCAGGAAGCUGCCAGAAGGGCCGAGGGAAACUGGACUGACUGAAAAGCAAUCCAUAACAUAGAUGGAGCUGAAGCUUGUGAACAGUACAAAUUCAGAAGGGAGAAAGCAGCUUCAGCAGAUCAGCCGAAGCCCAUGCUCUUAUGUGAGGACAUAGCAGAGCAGAAGGUGCUGUUGGGCUCUCAAUUAUCCGAAGAACAGGAGAAAACCUUGAUAAGGUUUUUGUUCAACAACAAAGAUGUUUUUGCAUGGUCAGCCAAUGAUCUUUGCAGAGUUAACAGGGAUGUUAUUGAACACUCGCUCAAUGUUGACCCAUCUUUCAGACCCAGAAAGCAGAGGCUUCGGAAAAUGUCUGAUGACAAGGCCGAAGGCACUCGGAAUGAAGUCAAAAGACUCCUCAGUGCAGGAGUUAUCAGAGAAGUAAAGUACCCAGAAUGGCUAGCUAACACUGUUAUGGUAAAAAAGGCCAAUGGCAAAUGGCGAAUGUGUAUCGAUUUUACGGAUCUCAACAAGGCCUGUCCGAAGGACGAAUUCCCAUUGCCAAGGAUAGACUCCUUAGUUGAUGCAGCAGCUUCGUCAGAGCUUAUGAGUCUUCUCGAUUGUUAUUCAGGCUAUCAUCAAAUUUGGAUGAAGAAGGAGGAUGAGCCGAAGACCAGUUUCAUAACCCCUAGUGGAACAUAUUGUUACCUUCGGAUGCCUGAGGGGCUCAAGGACGCUGGAGGAGGUUUCAGCAGAAUGACUGCGAAGGUUCUCCAGUCUCAGAUAGGCAGAAAUGUGCUAACUUAUGUUGAUGAUAUCAUUGUAAAAAGCACGAAACAGGAAAAUCACAUUGCUGAUUUGCAGGAGACCUUCGCCAGUUUUAGACAAGCUGGUCUAAAGUUGAAUCCAGAAAAAUGUGUCUUCGGAGUAAAGAAGGGGAAAUUUCUUGGAUGCUUGGUUUCAACAAAGGGAAUUGAAGCUAAUCCAAGUAAAAUUGAAGCUAUACUUCGAAUGGAGCCACCAACUACAAAAAAGGGGGCCCAAAGAUUGACAGGGAGGCUGGCAUCUCUCAAUAGAUUCAUAUCCAGAUCAGCAGAGAGAAAUUUACCAUUCUUCGAAGUGCUGAAAUCAGUCGAAGUCUUUCAAUGGGGACCAAGCCAACAAAAAGCCUUCGAGGAACUGAAGCAAUAUUUGAUAGAUUUAACAACAUUAACUCCACCAACGCCAGGGGCUCCUUUGUUAUUAUAUGUGGCAGCUUCGCAUUCAGCGGUAAGUGCAGCACUUGUCCAGGAGAAGCUUGAUGGCCAAGUCAAGAAGCAGGUCCCAGUGUAUUUUGUAUCUGAAGUUCUUAGUAUAUCAAAGAAAAACUAUACAGAAUUGAAGAAGGUGUUAUAUGCUGUUUUGAUGGCAUCCAAGAAGCUUCGGCAUUACUUUCAAGCAUACAAUAUUGUUGUUCCUUCUUCACAACCGUUGAAGGAUAUUAUGAGAAAUAGAGAAGCUACUGGACGGAUUGGAAAAUGGGCUGCAGAGCUCAAUGAAUUUUGCAUUGAUUAUGUGCAUAGAUCUUCGAUCCAGUCUCAAGCGUUGGCAGAUUUCAUUGCUGACUGGACGCCAGGGGCUCAGGAUGAAGAAACAAAUAAAGAUGCCGAAGUAUGGACAGUGUUUUGCGAUGGGUCUUGGGGAACCUUCGGAGCAGGAGCAGCCGCUGUGUUGGUCUCACCAUCCAAAGUUAAAACUUGUUAUGCAGCAAGACUCGAUUUUAGUUGUACUAACAAUAUUACUGAGUACGAAGCCCUGCUUUUGGGCCUUCGGAAGUUAAAAGCAAUGGGUAUCAGAAGGGCCAUUCUUAAAACUGAUUCCCAGGUUGUUUCGGGUCAUAUCGACAAGAGUUGUAAGGCUAAAGAUCCGAAGCUUGAAAAAUAUCUAGACACGGUCCGAAGGAUUGAAGCUUCCUUCGAAGGAUUUUCUGUCAAAAAUAUCCCUCGAGGACAAAAUGAGCAUGCUGAUUUGCUAGCUAAGUCAGCAGCACAGGGGCUGCCCUUACCUUCGGAUGUGUUCUUCAAAACAAUAAAAGCACCUUCAGUGGAACUUCUUGAAAGAGCAGUCCUCAAUAUAUCUCCUGUUUAUAGUGAAGACUGGAGAACUGAGAUUAUCUCUUACCUUCAGGGUAAUUUCCUUUCAGAUGACGAAACUUACAACAGGAGGAUAGAGGCAAGAGCUCGUCCAUAUGUCAUGAUAGAAGGGGAGUUGUACAAGCAUGGAGUUUGUGCUCCAUUACUCAAGUGUUUAUCUAGAGCCGAAGGCAUAGAAUUGAUGAAAGAAAUACAUGCAGGCCUGUGUGGAUCUCACGUUGGAUCUAGGCCGUUACUUGGAAAAGUUUUCCGUCAAGGGUUUUAUUGGCCGAAGGCAGCUUCGGAUGCAGCGGAAUUAGUUCAAAAGUGCGAAGGUUGUCAGAAAUGUGCAAGAGAUCAAAAACAACCUUCGUCCCUAACUCAGCUGAUACAACCCAUCUGGCCAUUGCAAAGGUGGGGCCUUGACUUGUUUUUCUGGCAGAAUAUUGUUUCUGGCAGAAUAUUGUUUGUCUGGCAGAAUAUUGUUUGUCGUUUCGGAGUACCAAAGGCCAUCACUGUAGAUAAUGGAACACAGUUCAACUCCGAAGCUUUCAGAGAAUUCUGUGAUCAAAUUGGCACGAAGAUCCAUUUUGCAUCAGUCAGGCAUCCGGAGUCAAAUGGACUCGUUGAAAGAGCCAAUGGCAUCAUAAUGACAGGAAUAAUGAAGUUAAUCUUCAAUCAACCCAGGGGAAAGUGGCCAGAUCAAUUAAUCAAAGUGGUAUGGAGCCACAACACAACAACAUCAAGGUCAACAGGCUUUACUCCAUUCAAAUUAUUGUUUGGUGACGAAGCAAUAACCCCGGAAGAAGCUAAAACUGGAUCAAUAAGAGUAGUAGCUUCGGCAGAAUCAGAUCCUGAAGCUGAUCAUUCUGUGGAAAAAGAUGCUUUAGAAGGGAUCAGGCUUCAAGCUGUGGAGAACAUCAAUAAAUAUCAAGCCGAAACAAUCAAAUGGCGUGAUAGAAAGGUUCGGCUAAAGAAUAUUGAGCCAGGACAUUUGGUGCUUCGGAGAGUGGCUAACCCAGAUACAGUGGGCAAGUUGCAGUUGAAAUGGGAGGGACCUUUUUUGGUAGUAUCUUCGUCAAGACCCGGUUCAUACAGAUUGAAGGAUAUGGACGGCAACGACAUUCCUAGAUCUUGGAAUGCGGAUGAGCUUCGGCGAUAUUAUGUAUAACUUGAUGUAAUUUUUUAUAUUUUUUAUUUUUUCUUUCAUGGCACCCUUUUCCUUUCUGAAGGGGGAGAAAGGUUUUUAAUGGGGCCAUCACAUGUAAUUUCCUUUUUUAGCUCUAUAAGAGCAAAAUCCCCCAAAGAUGUAAAUGUAAAAGCUGAGAACGCACCAUCGAGUGCCGGAAAGAAACAGGGAAGAAGCUCCAAAGACGUUCCUAAGGGAAUGCAGAGCUUACAGCGAAAAAUAAACGCUGAUUCCGCCGAAAGUAAAAGGCGAAGAAGCUCCAAAGACGUUCCUAAGGGAAUGCAGAGCUUACAGCGAAAAGUCAACGCUGAUUCCGCUGAAGUAAAAGGCGAAGAAGCUCCUAAGGGAGGCUUACAACGAAAAGUCAGCGCUGAUAUGUGAUUGUUUCUAAGGAAAUAACGAUUGUGAUUAUGGCUUCGGAUAUGUGUUUGGACAUUCAUUUGCACAUCACAUUACAUCAUAACAUUUGCAUUCAUAAACAUUCAUCCAGGCAUAUGUAGGAUAACCAUCAUCAUAGCAUAAGUGGUUGCUUCGGCAAAAAGGAAAAAACUGUCUUUUGUACUUCGUCGUGUACGAAAAGAAGAGCUUCGGAAAAAAGGAAAAGUUGUUUUUUAUGCUUCGCUGUGUACGAAAAGAAGGGAAGGUGUUUUUUCGCCUUCGGCUCAAAAAGAUAAUUUCGUCCACAUCAAAGCGUCUCUCAUACAUUAAUGGAAGGGUAAGAGCAUAUUACAAGGUAUGAACAGAAUUCAUUAAGAACAGUUUAGUCAUAUGUACAAAAGUUAUUUCAAAAGUUUCUUGAGUUUGUCUACAGUUUACUCCUACUGAUCUUCAUGAGGCCUCAGCUUCGGCGUCAUACUCUUUAAGCAUCGGUCUCGGCUUCGUCAUCCUACAUGAAUUGUUGUGGGUCAAAACCAAGCUUGAAGGAAAAGGUAAGCACAAGGUAUAAUUUCUUACUGGUUCAAGAUGACUCCGAGCUUCGUCUCCAGCCUUUUCUCGCCCGCCUUUUGUCCAUAUCAUCUUUACAAAUCUAUUAGAAAUGCUUCGGGCGAGGUCAGGAAUAUCAUCUAAAAUUGAUGGUGAUAGAGUGAAAUUGGGCCUAUUAACAAUUUUUCCAUGGUCGCAGCCAGCUUUCAGAAAAGCUGCCGCAGUGCCCCGAGAAGCUACCCAGGCACAGAAGUCACCGUGCCCGGCUAUAACUUCGUCAAGCUCAUCAAUUUCACCCUCAAUAUGUUCGAAGGUCUUUGGUAAAUCUUCAGUUGACGGGGUGAACUUCUCACUACUGGCCCCGACUGAGUGGAAGAUUUUUCUCAGUCGUUGAAUACAUUUAUUGCUAAACUCCAAACAUUUGUCUUGAAGGCUUGCCAAUAAUUUUUUCAAAUCUGAAUUUUGUUGGACUUCGGCUUCAAGUUUCGUAUUAAGUUCUUGCUUUUCUUUUUCGAACUGUUCAGAUUGGCAGAGAAGCUUCGUAUUCAAUUCUGCUACUUUAGCUUCGGCUUCUGCCAAUAAGCUUUCAGUUGUCUGAAGCUCGAAGUUUUUCUUUUCAAUAGUAGCUGAUUGCUCUUUUAUUUUGCUCUCUAAAUUUUCAAUUAUAACCUCGUGUUUUUUGUCUUCUAGAUCUUGCUGCAUUUUCAAAGCCUUGCUCAACAGCAUACUCUGCACGUAAACAACCUUCGUUAGACAUGUCUUCAUUAUUAAAAACAAUAAAAGUCAAGGGAAAAGUAGUUCACCUUGAAAUUGGAAUAAAAUAAACUACCAACGAUAUGUUGGCGUCGGUAGCGGCUAAUGUCCGUUUCCAGCUUCGGAAAACCGAUACUCUUUGAUAGAGUACCGAUAACCUUAGCUCCAGUUUGAUCCCGGAUACAGUCUAAUUUUUCAUCGUCAAUACCCCCGAAGAGGAGUGCUCCUGGUUUAUAUCCGCAAGAUUUGGCAUAUUCUUUAAGCUCUUCUAUUUCGGUUUUUGACAAUUCUUGUCCAACUAAAUUUUGAAACAUGAAGGCUUCGUCCUCUGAAGCUUCGUCAGCAAUUUCCUUUUCUUUCUCAGACACUGCGGCCAUGGCCUCUUCGGCGGCAGUAGUGGCUUCUUCUGUGGCCAUGUUUAGCAGCAUUUUGUCGAUGUGUUCGAUUGUGCUUGCCAAAUUUAAAUCUUCAGUUGAGGUAGCUUCGGUAGCCGUGACCUCCGAAGGUGUGACUUCAAUAUUUGUUAUUUCCUCAGCCGCUGGUAUCUUCUGAGCUGAAGCUCUCGGUGGUGUCUUGUCAAUGACUUCUGUCACUGCAAUGAUUCUUUGUCUCUUUGUUUUAGUUGUUUUCUUCGUUUUUUCGGGCUCCUUUUCCUUCUGAAAAAACUUUGUCAGUUGAGGCCCCAAUGGACUUAGCUUCGCAGGCAGGGAUUCAGUCAUUACCUUCAAAAUCUCUUCCACGUCAGUGGCAGAGCGUGAUGCGGGAGUCUCCUCUUCGUCGGAUACUUUUUGCUUCGGAGAUGAUACUUUCCUCUUCUUUGGAAUAUUCUUCUUUUUUGGUGGUUCUUUCUCAUCUUCAUUUAAAGCUUCGGCUCCCCUUUUCCUUUUCCGGCCUUCGACACCUUUAUUCAGAUUUUCGUAGUCAGGGUAUUCAAAACCCAGGGCGUCCAGCACUCGAUUCAGUCUUCGCUUCGGACGGGUACCGAAGGCCGCAGUCAUCAACUGAUCCUCUUUCUUGGAGUAAUUACCGAGUAUUUCAUUGCACAUUAUUUCAAUUGUGUCCAGCCACUCUUGGCAAGGUGUUUUAAAAUAUUUCUUAAACUUGUAAUAGUAAGGUAACCGCACAAGUUCCCCUUCUUUCUUCUCCCCCUCUAGUUUCGGCAUUUCCCAUUCUUUUAAGGUAGGAAAAACCCUGAAAGCCAAAAACUCUUGAACCAGGUCUCUUGUGCUGAUAUGCUCUGAAAUAAUUUUAAACUCAGCCAACGCUUUUUGGGUUGGACCUUCUGGUGUCAUGUUGCAAUGAGGUCAGGUUUCUCCGAAGAUUAAUUCAAGCGGACUCUGCACAAGCUUCUCCUUGUCGUCAUCAACAUUGACGUAGAACCAUUCCGAUUUCCAGCCUGCCGGCCACUUGCUUCGAUAGCUGAUGACAGGAAACUUUGUGGUUUUCCGAUAGGCAAAAUUAUAGCAACCAAAAUUAUCAUGCAAUCCAUCUUUUCUAGCCUUCGUCUGAUAAUGCAGCUCAUGAACUCGACAAAAGCUGUCGGCAAACGGCUCCACCUCCUGGCUUCGGAGGGCCCAGAUAUAGACGCUAAGCCUAACGAUAGCGUUAGGAGUCAGCUGAUGAAAGUAGAUCCCAAACCUCUUCAAUACAUCUGCAAUAAUCCCAUGCAGGGGAAAUCUCAACCCAGCUUUUAGAAAGCUCUUGAAAAUGACUAUUUCAUCCUUCUCUGGCUUCGGAGUAGUUUCUUCCCCCCCGAAGCGUAGAAGCUUCUUCUGACUUUCACUGAAAUAACCCGACUUCACCAUCUUGGAGAGAUCAGCCUUCGAAAUAGUCGACUUUCCGAAGUCCAAGUGGCUGGGCUUACUUGGCAUGGCAAUACGAUAAUCAUCUUCGGAAUCAGUUUCCUCAAUGUUUCCUUCUUCCGCUUCGGCAGUCGCCUGUUCUGUCUCAGCAGUGGGGAUUUCUUCCGGGGUUACCAGUCCGGAUCGUUGCAUCGCUUCGGAGAUGGGAACAGUCUCCGAUCCUUCAGCUUCGCCUCCCUCACGCUCAACCCUAGCGGUAGAACGCACUCUGGCCAUUUAACUCUGAAUUUUUUGGGAACUAAAUGCUUUUUCUUCCGAAGCUUUUUCUUCUGACGAAGUAGGCUUCAAACUGGAGCUUCGUCUGAUUCUGAGAGUCAAGCUUCGGCUAUGAUUAAAAAUUUUGGUAGCAAAACAGUGCAAAUAGCAAUGAAUGCUGUGGUAACUUCACACCUACUCGUCUGUUUAUAUAGUGAUGCAGGUAAGAAGGUGAAUCGCCAGGAUUUUUACACCAGGUGGACAGCCGCUUGCACUCGCUGCGCGGUGGACCGCAGAGACCAAACAGUAGCUCUGCAAGGUGGGACCGCUAUGCGCUCGGAAACUGAAUCGUUUCUCGACAACGAGCUCAGGGAAGGUGUUUUUUGGACCUUCGGCUUCCCGAAGCUUAAGAGACUUUUUUUCAUGGGUCAAGCUCGUUACGAAAAACGAUCUAGCGCAUCGAAAGGGGCUACUGUUGGGACUAUGCUUCGUCGCCGAAGGUCUUGUAGGAAGAAGCAGCUUCGGCUGAAGCUGUCCGCAUGAGAUGACCGAAGGAUCCUCUUCAUGAAGCUUCGGAAUUACAAACCGACUUAAAAGUAGAAUGACCUUUUAGUCCAUAAAUGUUUGGGUCGCUGUUGUAAUCCCUUAUAAGGGGCAUAAUUGUAAUUCCCCACAGGCUGUGUCCUGUGCCUAUAAAUAGUGAACAGUAUUCCUUUACUGUUCACGCAUUCCGGUAUUUACAAUCGCAUCAUUCGGGAACCAAUCUUUGUCAAGGCAAAGGUAUAACUGUAUUCAAUGAUUAAAUAUACUGAGUAGAUAUAAUAUGGUUCAUUUAUGAUUCAUUUACCUUUGAUACUCUAUAUUUUAUGUUAUCUUAUACAAUCUAUUAAAAUUCAAUUAUGAAGAUUUAACCUUCGUAAUCGUAUUGUCAUCAACCUUCGUCCAAGGUCCAUUAAUCCCCAAGGGAAUAAUGCUUCGUUGGACGAAGGACAUUAACAUUUAACAUUUUAUGUUGCCUUGUUCUUAAUUCAUAGCAUUUGAGAACAAGUCCCCAACAUUUGGCUUCUCGAUGUAGGUCAAGUCUUCUUGAACUUUGAGAUUCUCGGUUGGCAAUUGCUCUUCUGGCACUCGCAAGCACUUCUUCAGCUAAGACACAUGGAACACAUCUGCAUGGCUGACAGAGUUUCUAUUAGGCUAAGUUGAUAUGCCACUUCUCCACGUCUUGCCUGAAUCUGGUACGGUCCGAUGUAUCGAGGUGCUAGCUUGCCCUGGACUCCGAACCUUUUGAUUCUUGUGAUGGGUGACACCUUCAGGUAAACAUAGUCUCCCACUUCGAAGCUCAGAUCUCUUCUUCUUGUGUCAGCAUAGCUUCGCUGCCUGGACUACGCUGUCUUUAGAUUCUCCCGAACCAUUCUGAUGUUCUCUUCGGCCUCAAGCAAAAUGUAUGGACUAAACACCUGCCUUUCGUCGGGUUGGUCCCAAUGUAAUGGAGUUCGACAAUUCCUCCCAUAGAGAGCUUGGAACAGUGACAUCUUCAAACUAACUGGCUUGGUAAAUGUUGUUGUAGGACAGUUCUGCAUAAGGUAGCCUUUUGUCCCAACCUAACUUGUCUUGCAAAGCACAAGCUCUUAACAUAUCUUCAAGGAUCUGGUUCGUUCUCUUAGUCUGACCAUCUAUCUACAGCUGAUAAGGUGAACUGAACUUCAAAUGUGUGCCCAAAGCUUCAUGUAAUUGCUGCAAAAAAUGAGAAGUGAAUUGGGUUCCCCGAUCUGAUACUAUCUUCUUUGGUAUGCCAUGCAAGCAUACAAUUCGGGACAUAUAUAACUCUGCCAACACGACACUAUUGUAGGUGGUCUUGAAUGGUAUGAAAUGGGUCGCCUUCAUCAAGCGGUCCACUACUACCUAGAUGGAGUCAUAACCGGCUUGAGUGCGAGGCAAACCGACUAUAAAAUCCAUCCCAAUCUCAUCCCAUUUCCACUGAGGAAUCUGCAACGGCUGCAACAAACCUGCGGGCCUCUGAUGCUCUACCUUGAUUCUCUAACAACUGUCACAUAUGGCAACAUACUCUGCGAUCUCACUUUUCAUACCGUAGCACCAGAAUCUUUUCUUUAGGUCUUGGUACAUCAUCUCGUUGCUAGGGUGUAUGGAAUAAGUUGUCUCAUGAGCUUCCUUGAGGAUCAUCUACCAAAUCGAUUUGAUGUCAGGAACACACAACCUAUCUUUAAACCAUACUACGCCUUCCGCGUCUUCCUGGAAAUCUUUGUCUUUCCCAUCUAAGAUCAGUUGUCGAAUUUCAUUGAUCUUCUCAUCAUCUUUCUGGCCCUUCUUGAUAUCUUGUUCUAGAGUAGGCUCUAGCUCGACUGUCACUCCUUGAGUGUUGUUCAGAAAUCCGAGACUCAAUAUGUCGAAUUUCUUUGCUAGCUCAUAUGGCGUUAGAUGAGCGGCCAUCAUGUUGACUUGGCUUUUUCGGCUCAAAGCAUCUGUAACCACAUUAGCUUUGCUUAGGUGAUAAUGUAUCCCCAGCUCAUAAUCUUUGAUUAAUUCCACCCAUCUUCGCUGCCUCAUGUUUAAUUCUGACUGGGUGAAUAUAUACUUGAGACUCUUAUGGUCUGUGUAAACAUCACACUUUUGCCCAUACAAAUAGUGCCUCCAGGUCUUUAGUGCAUGAACCACUGCUGCUAACUCCAGAUCAUGUGUGGGGUAGUUUCUCUCAUGAAUCUUCAAAUGUCGGGACGAGUAUGCCACUACUCUCCCUUCUUGCAUUAACACACAUCCUAGUCUGGUGUAUGAAGCAUCACAAUACACUGAGAAUGGCUUGUGAACAUCAGGUAGAAUCAACACCGGUGUUGUCGUCAACUUCUUUUUCAAUGUCUCAAAGGACUCUUGGCACUCUUGGAGAAACCUUCAAUGAAACGCCGAUAGUAGCCGACCAUUCCAAUGAAACUCUUGAUUCCCCAUACAUCUCUUGGUGUUUUCCAGUCUAGAAUAGCUACUACCUUCUUCGAAUCCAUAGCUAAUCCGUCUCGAUUUAUGAUAUGACCCAAGAACAGGACUUCGCUGAUCCAUAAUUCACAUUUGCUAAGCUUGACAUACAGUUGACAAUCCCGUAGACUCUGCAAUACUUUCCUCAAGCGCUCUUCAUGCUCUUGCUCAUUCUAGGAAUAUAUGAGGAUAUCAUCAAUAAACACCACUACGAAUUUGUCUAGAUAGUCCAUGAACACGCUAUUCAUCAAGUACAUAAAGAAAGCUGGCACAUUUGUCAGACCGAAUGACAUGACAGUGAACUCAUAAAGCCCAUUGUUGGGGCGAAGGCAAAGAUGCCACCCUUCGCUCGAGGCCUUCGCUGCAGUCGCUGGUCCGACGGAGACACAACGGGCAAGAACACCCUUCGCCUGAUUCGGCACCAGGCAAAGGCCUGCGACGUCGUCAUCCCACCGUGCGGCCUCGUCCAGCUCAGAGGCCCGCGUGUGAUCCGGCCCAUUGUAACGGGCCCUGCGUGGCCGCCGCGUGUUACGGGCCUAAUUUGUAAAGGCAUUCCUGUAAUUACAGUCUGUAACCCCGCUUUAUGGGAAUAUUCUGGGGAUAACCUAGGUGGCUGAGGGCACAUGCGUCCUUAACACAAGGCGCUGGGCGCUCAGACACCUAUAAAUACCCCCGCACAGUGCCCGUGAGAGGCCAGAUUAACAGAGCUAUUGCCCACACGCGCGAGAGCCCUGCUUACGUCAUUGUUCACCCUUGUUGGAUCCCCUUGCAACUGAGAGCAAGUUCCAACAUUUGGCGCCCACCGUUCGUGCUACGAGAAAACCACCCACGAUGGCACCCAAGAGAGCUAACCCGAAGGCUGACGAGGCUGCGAAGGCAGCACUGCUCGCCGCAAGAAAGGGCAAGGCCCUCGCCCUCACCCAAUCCACCCACCAAGAGGCCACUGAAGACAACGUUCCCCGCACCUGCGAGGACGACACUCUCCGCACCUGCGGCCCUGAAGGACAAUCGCAGCCACCCUCAGGCUUCGCCCCACUGGAGGGCGCGGACCUCACCGAGGAUGGUGAAGUCCUCGGCGUCUCAGCGGAAGAACAGCUACAGCUGCACGCCCUGCGCCUCAAGAACCGCAAUCUCCAGAGGCAGAAGGAGAUACUCGAGGCCAAGCGCCAGCGUGUGUCCGCACUAGCCAAAGUGCGGCAAAUGAUACGCGACGAAGAGCAGAAGGCCCAGGACCUCGAGCGGGAGAUCGCGCUGAUGCAGCGCGAAGGCCACCUUGGCCUGCAGCAAGGGCCACCCCUCCAGCAGCGCGCACAACUGGAAGACACGCGCGAAGGCCACCUCGGCCUACAGCAUGGGCCACCCCUGCAACACCGCGCACAACCGGAAGACCCGCGUUUCCCCCAGCGCGACCACACCUUCCCGCACGCCGCGCCAUUCCAAGGGGUCAACUAUCUCGACGAGCGAAGUCCCCUGGCGCCACACCUGCAAGUGACGCCUUGGCCAGCUAACUUCCGGGCAGGGACCUAUCCCAAGUACAACGGCAGCACCGACCCAGCGCAAUACAUAAUGAGUUAUCAGGUCGCCGUUGCAUCUUCCGGAGGGGACGACGCCACAAUGGCGAAGUCUUUCAUCAUCGCCCUAGAGGGCCCAGCUCUCACCUGGUUCACCAGGUUGCCUCCGCUGUCCAUUGAUUCCUGGAGAAGCCUCAGGGACAAGUUCCUGCUCAACUUCCAAGGGUACCGCCCAGACACCGACGCAUUGGCCGAACUCUCGCUCUGCAAGCAGCUGGAAAAGGAGACUCUGCGGGAGUAUUACCGCAAAUUUUUAACACUCAAGUCACAGCUGCCCUCAGUCGAUGAUCAGAUCGCUAUCCACUACGCUAUCAGUGGCCUUCGCGCCGGCGUCCUUUACAGCCACUGCAUCAGAGAUCCGCCCAAGAACCUCCAGGAAUUAUAUCAGCUGUUUGAAAAGUACGCCAAAUCCGAAGAGCUCUACCAGCGCAAGGUUGAGUCCCAAAGGGAGCCAAAAGAUGCUCCACAGUCCAGCCGCACGUGGACGAGGACUCCACAGCCGGACUCCGGUCGAGACGGCCGCAAUCAACAGCAAGUGCACAACAUCGCCAACCAGCACCCCGCUGCUGACGCCCCUCGUCGCCAGGAGUAUCCCCCCCAGGGCCGCGGAAAUGGAACUCGCGGUAGGGGUCGGGGGCGGGCGCAGCCGCCACACCGUUUCUACUGCCUCUUCCAUGGCGAAGACUGUGCCCACCAAACCAAAGACUGCCCAGAAACGAAGGCCACCAGAGACAGGAUGGCACGGGCGCAGCCUGCCGACAAUCCCAGAGUUGUCGCACACACUUACCAGCAACCCCCUCCACCAUAUAUCCACGCCCCCGCCCCGCAUCCACCGCACCAUGCUUACCAACACCAUCCGGAAGUACAAAUCGUACCUCCACCACCCCCACCACCACACCAGCAACAUCAAAACAUCCCCCAUGCUCCAAAGCAGGAAGACUUCGCCGAUCAGCCAUAUCGCGGAGUCAUUCACAUGAUAACUUGGGGGUCCAGCACUGACUUCGACACAAAGCGACAGAAGCGAGACCACUACCGCAGCAUCAACCACGUCGCCGUCACCGGCCCAGUCGUGCAGACAAAGUGGUCCCACAUACCGUUAACCUUCGACGCACGAGACGUCGACCUACGCAGCGCCCCCCACUGCGAUGCCAUGGUCAUCAAUUGCAGCGUGGCAGGCUGGGACCUGCACAAAGUCCUAGUUGACAAUGGCAGUCAGGCGGACAUCAUCUUUCUCCACGCCUUCGAUCGCAUGGGCAUAAGCCACAGCCUGCUCAAGCCUUCGGACAACCCGUUGUAUGGCUUCGGCGGCAAGGGCACCUUUCCUGUCGGCAAAAUAGAGCUGCCUCUCUCCUUCGGUGUAGCACCCAAUGCCCGAAGCGAGCAAGUAACCUUUGAUAUCGUGGAUAUGGUAUAUCCAUACAAUGCCAUCAUGGGCCGGGGCUCCAUCAAUAAGUUCGAAGCAGCCAUCCACGGACUGUACCUGUGUAUGAAGAUACCAGGUCCGUUAGGCGUCAUUACGGUCUACGACAAUCAACAGACUCCGCGCAACAUAGAGCGGGACUUCGUGCCCGGUCAGAGAAACGUGCACUGCCUCACGGCCCAGCGCGAGGUCCCCGUGCCAUCCAGCCCAACCAAUAAGCAGCACGACAAGGCACAGCUGCAGAGCAACGAUGGGACCAAGACUGUCCCCCUCGAUCAGGCCACGCCCAAGCAGACAGUCACUAUCUGCGAAGACCUCACUUCGCAUGAAGAGGAGAAGCUCCUCUGCUGCCUGUCCAAGAAUAAAGACGUCUUCGCCUGGUCUGCCCUCGAUCUGGUCAGAGUCAGCCGAUCCAUAAUUGAGCACAGCUUGGGAAUUGACCCUUCGGUGCGACCAAAAAAGCAGAGACUUCGCAAAAUGUCCGACGAGAAGACAGAGGCCGCCAAGGCGGAGGUGCACCGCCUCCUGGAAGCCAAAUUCAUCGAGCCGGUGGCUUAUCCCAUGUGGCUCUCCAAUGUUGUAAUGGUACAGAAAAAAAGCGGGAAGUGGCGAAUGUGCAUCGACUUCACCAGUCUCAACAAGGCCUGCCCAAAGGACAACUUCCCGUUGCCGCGGAUCGACAAAAUAGUCGAUAGCGCGGCCGGAUGCGAGAUCAUGUCUCUCCUCGACUGCUUCUCCGGUUAUCACCAGAUAUACAUGAAAGAGGAAGACAAGGCUAGCACCAGCUUUAUAACACCCUUCGGCACAUAUUGCUUCAUCAGAAUGCCGGAGGGACUCAAGAACGCCGGGUCCACCUUCUCCAGGCUUACCAAAACAGUGCUUGAAGGGAAGGUCGGCAGAAAUAUAUUCACUUAUGUGGACGACAUUGUCGUCGCCAGCAAGAGCAAGGAGGACCAUCUUGCCGACCUCGCCGAGACAUUCGCGAACAUGCGAGACGCACGAUUCCGCCUAAACCCGGAAAAGUGCGUCUUCGGCGUUCGCCAAGGCAAAAUAUUGGGCUACCUGGUAUCACACCGCGGCAUCGAGGCCAACCCAACCAAGCUUCAGGCCAUCAUAAACAUGACGCCUCCGCAGUCCGCUAGAGACGUCCAGCGCCUGACACGCAGGUUGGCCGCUCUCAACAGAUUCAUCUCCAGGUCCGCCGAGCGAAGUCUCCCCUUCCUCAAAACACUCCGUGGUGCAAAAGACUUCGCCUGGGGACCAGAGCAGGCGGCGGCCUUCGCCUCAUUAAAACAGUACCUGUCAGAGUUGGUCGUCCUUACAAGCCCCGACUCCUCGCUCCCCCUGUUGCUCUACGUCGCGGCUUCGCUGCAUGCGGUCAGCGCGGCACUAGUGCAGGAGCAGACAGUUGAGGGCGUGGUCAGGCAGUACCCUGUUUACUAUGUCUCCGAAGUGCUGACACCGUCCAAGUGCAACAUGACAGAACUGGAGAAUAUUGCCUACGCAGUCGUUAUGUCUUCGCGCAAAUUGUGCCAUUACUUCGAAGCAUUCAAGGUCCGAGUCACCUCAGACAGGGGACUCGGCGAAUUGUUCAGAAACCCGGAGGCAUCGGUGAGGAUUGCCAAAUGGACGGUCGAACUCUCCGGCUACCACAUCAGCUUCGAGCCUAGGACAGCCAUCAAGUCACAAGUCCUGGCAGACUUCGUCGUCGACUGGACUGGGCCAACAACACAGCCAGACCAGUCCGCAGAGAAGGUUUGGACGAUCCAUUGCGACGGCGCAUGGUGCCAUGCGGGGGCGGGCGCCGCUACAGUCAUCACCUCACCAGUCGGGGUCAAGCACAGAUACGCAGCACGCCUCAGCUUCGCUCUGGAAUCCGACAGAUGCACGAAUAAUAUAGCAGAAUACGAAGCAGUCAUCCUCGGCCUCCGCAAGCUAAGGGCCCUCGGAGUCACCACCUGCAUCAUCAAAAUAGACUCUAAGGUAGUUGCCGGCCAUGUCAAGAAAGACUAUGCAGCAAAGGACCCCGCACUUAUGCAAUACCUCGCGGCCAUCCGAAGCCUCGAGAGACAAUUCAAGGGAUUCACCUUGCAGCAUGUGGAUCGGGCCAAGAAUGAAGAGGCUGACGCAUUGGCCAAGGCCGCCGCCAGGGGUGAGUCCUUGCCCUCCGACGUAUUCUUUCAUGUCAUCGGCACGCCAGCCGUCCGGAGCCCCAAAGGGCUCCAAAUAACUAAUGACAGCGAGGGCCACCGCAUAGUCAACCUUAUCAUGACCGAGGACUGGCGGGCACCAAUAACCCUGUUCCUACAGGGGUACUAUCAUCCAACCGACAUCAGCGAGGCCAAUCGCCUCAGACAUCGAAGCCGAGACUUCGCACUGAUUGAAGGCCAACUCUACAAGAAAGGGGUCAGUCAGCCAAUGCUUAAGUGCGUCACCGAAACCGAAGGCAUCCAGAUCCUACGCGAAGUCCACAGUGGCACGUGCGGCUCGCACGCAGGGCCAAGGGCCCUAGCUGGUAAGGUGAUCCGCCAAGGCUUUUACUGGCCCGCAAUGAUCUGCGCCGCAAAUCGGGUCACAAGGUCCUGCGAAGCCUGCCAGAAGUUUUCUCCUCGGUCAGGCAGCCCUUCGUAGUAUACAAAGCUGAUUGCCCACACAUGGCCUCUCCAGCGCUAGGGCCUGGACAUUGUCGGGCCCCUGCCCACCGCUCAGGGGAACCUUAAGUUUGCCUUCGUCGCUGUCGAGUACUUCACCAAAUGGAUCGAGGCAAGGGCUGUUUCCACAAAAACAUCAAAAACUGCCCACAAAUUCUUUUGGCAAAACAUCGUUUGCCGCUUCGGAGUACCGUCCGAACUAACAGUUGACAACGGCAAGCAGUUUGACAGCCAAGACUUCAAGGAUUUUUGCUUCUCCAUUGGCACCAAGCUUGCCUUCGCCUCAGUCUAUCAUCCGUAGUCCAACGGAGUCGUGGAACGCACCAAUGGGAAAAAUCUUCACAGCUGUCAAAAAGAUGCUCCUCGAUGAAAAAAGGGCAGAUGGACCGAUUUGUCCCUAGAGGGCCCAGCUCUCACCUGGUUCACCAGGUUGCCUCCGCUGUCCAUUGAUUCCUGGAGAAGCCUCAGGGACAAGUUCCUGCUCAACUUCCAAGGGUACCACCCAGACACCGACGCAUUGGCCGAACUCUCGCUCUGCAAGCAGCUGGAAAAGGAGACUCUGCGGGAGUAUUACCGCAAAUUUUUAACACUCAAGUCACAGCUGCCCUCAGUCGAUGAUCAGAUCGCUAUCCACUACGCUAUCAGUGGCCUUCGCGUCGGCGUCCUUUACAGCCACUGCAUCAGAGAUCCGCCCAAGAACCUCCAGGACUUAUAUCAGCUGUUUGAAAAGUACGCCAAAUCCGAAGAGCUCCACCAGCGCAAGGUUGAGUCCCAAAGGAAGCCAAAAGAUGCUCCACAGUCCAGCCGCACGUGGACGAGGACUCCGCAGCCGGACUCCGGUCGAGAUGGCCGCAAUCAACAGCAAGUGCACAACAUCGCCAACCAGCACCCCGCUGCUGACGCCCCUCGUCGCCAGGAGUAUCCCCCCCAGGGCCGCGGAAAUGGAACUCGCGGUAGGGGUCGGGGGUGGGCGCAGCCGCCGCGCCGUUUCUACUGCCUCUUCCAUGGCGAAGAUUGCGCCCACCAAACCAAAGACUGCCCAGAAACGAAGGCCACCAGAGACAGGAUGGCACGGGCGCAGCCUGCCGACAACCCCAGAGUUGUCGCACACACUUACCAGCAACCCCCUCCACCAUAUAUCCACGCCCCCGCCCCGCAUCCACCGCACCACGCUUACCAACACCAUCCGGAAGUACAAAUCGUACCUCCACCACCCCCACCACCACACCAGCAACAUCAAAACAUCCCCCAUGCUCCAAAGCAGGAAGACUUCGCCGAUCAGCCAUAUCGCAGAGUUAUUCACAUGAUAACUGGGGGGUCCAACACUGACUUCGACACAAAGCGGCAGAAGCGGGACCACUACCGCAGCAUCAACCACGUCGCCAUCACCGGCCCAGUCGUGCAGACAAAGUGGUCCCACAUACCGUUAACCUUCGAUGCACGAGACGUCGACCUACGCAGCGCCCCCCACUGCGACGCCAUGGUCAUCAGUUGCAGCGUGGCAGGCUGGGACCUGCACAAAGUCCUAGUUGACAAUGGCAGUCAGGCGGACACCAUCUUUCUCCACGCCUUCGAUCGCAUGGGCAUAAGCCACAGCCUGCUCAAGCCUUCGGACAACCCGUUGUAUGGCUUCGGCGGCAAGGGCACCUUUCCUGUCGGCAAAAUAGAGCUGCCUCUCUCCUUCGGUGUAGCACCCAAUGCCUGAAGCGUGCAAGUAACCUUUGAUAUCGUGGAUAUGGUAUAUCCAUACAAUGCCAUCAUGGGCCGGGGCUCCAUCAAUAAGUUCGAAGCAGCCAUCCACGGACUGUACCUGUGUAUGAAGAUACCAGGUCCGUUAGGCGUCAUUACGGUCUACGGCAAUCAACAGACUGCGCGCAACAUAGAGCGGGACUUCGUGCCCGGUCAGAGAAAUGUGCACUGCCUCACGGCCCAGCGCGAGGUCCCCGCGCCAUCCAGCCCAACAAAUAAGCAGCACGACAAGGCACAGCUGCAGAGCAACGACGGGACCAAGACUGUCCCCCUCGAUCAGGCCACGCCCAAGCAGACAGUCACUAUCUGCGAAGACCUCACUUCGCAUGAAGAGGAGAAGCUCCUCUGCUGCCUGUCCAAGAAUAAAGACGUCUUCGCCUGGUCUGCCCUCGAUCUGGUCGGAGUCAGCCGAUCCAUAAUUGAGCACAGCUUGGGAAUUGACCCUUCGGUGCGACCAAAAAAGCAGAGACUUCGCAAAAUGUCCGACGAGAAGACAGAGGCCGCGAAGGCGGAGGUGCACCGCCUCCUGGAAGCCAAAUUCAUCGAGCGGGUGGCUUAUCCCACGUGGCUCUCCAAUGUUGUAAUGGUACAGAAAAAAAGCGGGAAGUGGCGAAUGUGCAUCGACUUCACCAGUCUCAACAAGGCCUGCCCAAAGGACAACUUCCCAUUGCCGCGGAUCGACAAAAUAGUCGAUAGCGCGGCCGGAUGCGAGAUCAUGUCUCUCCUCGACUGCUUCUCCGGUUAUCACCAGAUAUACAUGAAAGAGGAAGACAAGGCUAGCACCAGUUUUAUAAUAUUGCUUCAUCAGAAUGCCGGAGGGACUCAAGAACGCCGGGUCCACCUUCUCCAGGCUUACCAAAACAGUGCUCGAAGGGCAGGUCGGCAGAAAUAUAUUCACUUAUGUGGACGACAUUGUCAUCGCCAGCAAGAGCAAGGAGGACCAUCUCGCCGACCUCGCCGAGACAUUCGCGAACAUGCGAGACGCACGACUCCGCCUAAACCCGGAAAAGUACGUCUUCGGCGUUCGCCAAGGCAAAAUAUUGGGCUACCUGGUAUCACACCGCGGCAUCGAGGCCAACCCAACCAAGAUUCAGGCCAUCAUAAACAUGACGCCUCCGCAGUCCGCCAGAGACGUCCAGCGCCUGACAGGCAGGUUGGCCGCUCUCAACAGAUUCAUCUCCAGGUCCGCCGAGCGAAGUCUCCCCUUCCUCAAAACACUCCGUGGUGCAAAAGACUUCGCCUGGGGACCAGAGCAGGCGGCGGCCUUCGCCUCAUUAAAACAGUACCUAUCAGAGUUGGCCGUCCUUACAAGCCCCGACUCCUCGCUCCCCCUGUUGCUCUACAUCGCGGCUUCGCCGCAUGCGGUCAGCGCGGCACUAGUGCAGGAGCAGACAGUUGAGGGCGUGGUCAGGCAGUACCCUGUUUACUAUGUCUUCGAAGUGCUGACACCGUCCAAGUGCAACAUGACAGAACUGGAGAAGAUUGCCUACGCAGUCGUUAUGUCUUCGCGCAAAUUGCGCCAUUACUUCGAAGCAUUCAAGGUCCGAGUCACCUCAGACAAGGGACUCGGCGAAUUGUUCAGAAACCCGGAGGCAUCGGUGAGGAUUGCCAAAUGGGAGGCCGAACUCUCUGGCUACCACAUCAGCUUCGAGCCUAGGACAGCCAUCAAGUCACAAGUCCUGGCAGACUUCAUCGUCGACUGGACUGGGCCAACAACACAGCCAGACCAGUCCGCAGAGAAGGUUUGGACGAUCCAUUGCGACGGUGCAUGGUGCCAUGCGGGGGCGGGCGCCGCUGCAGUCAUCACCUCACCAGUCGGGGUCAAGCACAGAUACGCAGCACGCCUCAGCUUCGCUCUGGAAUCCGACAGAUGCACAAAUAAUAUAGCAGAAUACGAAGCAGUCAUCCUCGGCCUCCGCAAGCUAAGGGCCCUCGGAGUCACCACCUGCAUCAUCAAAACAGACUCUAAGGUAGUUGCCGGCCAAGUCGAGAAAGACUAUGCAGCAAAGGACCCCGCGCUUAUGCAAUACCUCGCGGCCAUCCGAAGCCUCGAGAGACAAUUCAAGGGAUUCACCUUGCAGCAUGUGGAUCGGGCCAAGAAUGAAAAGGCUGACGCAUUGGCCAAGGCCGCCGCCAGGGGCGAGUCCUUGCCCUCCGACGUAUUCUUUCAUGUCAUCGGCACGCCAGCCGUCCGGAGCCCCGAAGGGCUCCAAAUAACUAAUGACAGCGAGGGCCACCGCAUAGUCAACCUUAUCAUGACCGAGGACUGGCGGGCACCAAUAACCCUGUUCCUACAGGGGUACUAUCAUCCGACCGACAUCAGCGAGGCCAAGCGCCUCAAACAUCGAAGCCGAGACUUCGCACUGAUUGAAGGCCAACUCUACAAGAAAGGGGUCAGUCAGUCAAUGCUUAAGUGCGUCAUCGAAACCGAAGGCAUCUAGAUCCUACGCGAAGUCCACAGUGGCACGUGCGGCUCGCACGCAGGGCCAAGGGCCCUAGCUGGUAAGGUGAUCCGCCAAGGCUUUUACUGGCCCGCAAUGAUCUGCGCCGCAAAUCGGGUCACAAGGUCCUGCGAAGCCUGCCAGAAGUUUUCUCCUCGGUCAGGCAGCCCUUCGCAGUAUACAAAGCUGAUUGCCCACACAUGGCCUCUCCAGCGCUGGGGCCUGGACAUUGUCGGGCCCCUGCCCACCGCUCAGGGGAACCUUAAGUUCGCCUUCGUCGCUGUCGAGUACUUCACCAAAUGGAUCGAGGCAAGGGCUGUUUCCACAAUAACAUCAAAAACUGCCCAGAAAUUCUUUUGGCAAAACAUCGUUUGCCGCUUCGGAGUACCGUCCGAACUAACAGUUGACAACGACAAGCAGUUUGACAGCCAAGACUUCAAGGAUUUUUGCUUCUCCAUUGGCACCAAGCUUGCCUUCGCCUCAGUCUAUCAUCCGCAGUCGAACGGAGUCGUGGAACGCGCCAAUGGGAAAAUCUUCACAGCUGUCAAAAAGAUGCUCCUCGAUGAAAAAAGGGCAGAUGGACCGAUUUGUUACCCGAGGCAGUCUGGGCACUAAACACGACUGAGUGCAGGGCGACCAGAUUUACUCCUUUCCGCCUUUUAUACGGAUCGGAGGCCAUGACCCCACAGGAAAUAAAACAUGGGUCCCCGCGAACAGUUCCGCCAGCCGUCCCCGACGUGGACGAGCCAACUUCAAAGGAUCUCAUUGACGAAGACCGAGUCUUCGCCCUACAGGCCCUAAACAAAUACCAAGCCCAGACAAAAGCAUGGCGCGACCACGCAGUCAUCCCGAGGGAAUUCAGCGAAGGGGACCUCGUACUCGUCCGAACAGCUUGGACAGAGUCCAGGGGCAAGCUGGAGCCCAAGUGGGAGGGCCCCUUCAUAGUCAAGACAAAAGCUUCCCCCAGCGCUUACAGGCUCACAACGCCAAACGGCGAAGACCUGGAGCACUCCUGGAACAUCGACAACCUCCGCAAAUUUUUUGUUUGACUCAUCAGGGCUGAUUUCGCCCUUGUAAUUCACAAAAAACAAUCUUACACCGGCCCGCACUCUUUUCCUCCCGGGGGGUGAGGUUUUUAACGAGGCGGAGCCAUGUAAUAUAUGUGUGAAAAAUCCCCCGCAAAAACAUGCGUCGAAAAAAGACCGCGACGACGGUCUUCGACAUUCGACCAAUACGAGGUCACCGCGAGGCUCAGCGCUAGCCACCCUCGCGUGCGACAAAUCCGCACAGAAGUCGCCUAAGGGUGCAACCGGACUAGCACAACAAGUGCAAAAAAACCGAAGUCUACCGCGAAGACUAUCCGCGCAGAAGUCGCCUAAGGGUGCAGCCGGACUAGCACAACAAGUGCGAAAAAACCGAAGUCUACCGCAAAGACUAUCCGCGCAGAAGUCGCCUAAGGGUGCAGCCGGACUAGCACAACAAGUGCGAAAAAACCAAAGUCUACCGCGAAGACUAUCCGCGCAGAAGUCGCCUAAGGGUGCAGCCGGACUAGCACAACAAGUACGAAAAAACCGAAGUCUACCGCGAAGACCAUCCGCGCAGAAGUCGCCUAAGGGUGCAGCCGGACUAGCACAACAAGUGCAAAGAAACCGAAGUCUACCGCGUAGAUUAUCCGUGCAGAAGCCGCCUAAGGGUGCAGCCGGACUAGCACAACAAAAGCAAAAACGACAAACUGUCCGCGCCAAGACCGACUAUAUACGCACCAGCACAGCAUAACAAAAUACACCAGACCAAGUACACAACGCCUUCGCAGGCAUAGCCAAGUGUGCGGGGGCACACAACCUCAUCAUACAAGCCUUUACACUUAUACAAGCGAGGGCACCACACUCUACAUCGGCUCAACCUUAGGAAUAAUUCCCAUCUCCCUAUAAUUAAAUAACAUUAUCCUAAGCUCCUCACCCGCAAAAGACUUCGCAAUUCCCCUUCACCUGUACUCACGGCGGCCGGUAAAGACAACAGCUCCUGCCGGCCAGCCCUACUCACACGAAGCCGACCUCCCUCCGCCCCACUCACCCUACGCUUCUCAACCGCCCUUCGCCGUCGGUGCCCGGUGCUAGGACCAGGCACAUCUUCUGUGUCCGCGGCGUGCGGUGAAGCCUCCGCCGCAGCCACAUCCAAGGCCGCAAAGUAGUCCAAGUCCUCCUCUGACGACUCCUCAGUCCACUCAACCGAGCUCCCAGAGUCAGCAAAAUUAGAAAACUCAGAUGCAGACCCAUCACAUUCAUUAUCACCAUCCACGGUCGAAGCCGCCAAAAAUUUAGUAGUGGCGGUUGCGUGCGCAGGCCCAAAAUCUUGAACCUGCGCAGCAACCAAAAUUUAGCAACAUAUCCAAAAUUCCCUAACUAUCUACACCCACUACGCCACCUGCGAAGACCCUGCCAUUGCGGGAGCCUCCGCCGUUGCCUCCGCUGUCGCCUCCGCCGCCACCGUCGCAGGAUCUUCAGCACUCGGCGUAGCGGCUCCGGGGGCAUCAGGCGCGCCUUCGGCGGUCUCUGGGGGCAGGUCUCCGCCGGCCGCAGCGGACGCAGAGGUAUCCGGUGUGCCUUCUGCGGUCUCCGGGGGCGGCUCCAGGGCAGCCCCGGACACGGCCUCCGCCGGGGUCGGCUCCGGGUCAGGCAGCGCGCUGUUCAACGCCCCGAAGUCAUCCACCCUCUCGCCACGCGCCGCCUAAGUCACAACACACAAAUUCAGCAAAACCACAUAUAGCCCACAUCCAGCAAACUCCAAACAAACGCCAAACGUUACUUGAGCCCUCGCCGUCUCGGCCCGCUCCCUAACCACCUCGCGACCGUGCGGACCCCACAUCCGGUCGUAGAUGGCUCCGGCGGAUUCCUUCACUAUGGGGUCCUCAACCUUGUAGAUAUCUCGCUCAAAGUCUUCGUCAGCUUGGUUAAAGACCUCGAAGUGCCGGCACCCUUCGCGAGAGAGCGCGUUCAUCGCCUCCUCGCAGGUGACCAGGGAGGCAUACGACAUAAACCCCUCCACGAUAGUGGGGAGUGCCUGCAACUCCUCCUGUACCCACUCCAGGCAGCGAAGUCCGGGCUCUCGCUCCGGCACUUCGAAGUCACCGGUCUGCGCGCCCAGCUCAUGGUACGAAUCCAUAAGCUGUUUGCGCGUCCGCUCGGCUCCGUGCGCAUCGCGGCCUCGGCCCUCUCCAUGCGGCUCUCCAGGGCGAUGAGCCGCUCCUGCAGCUGCUCGGCGCGCUCCCUGACAAGAUUGCCCUCCGCCCGUGCCAGAUUAGCCUCCGCCUGCGCAGCCUGCGCCUUGGCAAGGGCCUCGUUGGUCUCCCUCCUCUCCCCCGCCAAUUGGCGCCGGAGGUCAGCCUUCUCCCCCUCCAGCGCGGCCACCUUGUCCACCAGCUUGCGGCACUUGCUGUCGGCGACCGAUUUUUCACGGACGGCGUCAGCAUGUUGCGUCCGAAGUCUCUCGACUUCGGCAGACACAACUGCCAUGAGGGCCCCCGACGCUGUGCGGUUGGCAAAGUCAGCCACCUGCAGAACACACGUAAGACCGCGGCCCCAACAAAGCUAAAAAAACAAAGUCUAGCUCAGCGGACCUGACUUAGUGCCUCUAUCACCUCCUUCAGCCGGUGGGACGCAGUGCCCACCUCAUCCCUGACAGCCGCGAGUGCCGACAUCUCGCCUCCGGCGCUAAGAGCCCCGCCCUUCGCCUUCGGCACUACGGCAGCCGCCGUGGUCGCCGCGGCAGGCGCAACUAUAGCAAGUUGGCCUUCGUCCGACCCUGCGACGUAUCAACGAAUUAAAAAAAAACGAGCCAACAUCUUACCACCAAGAUAGUCGUCCACACUAAUAUCGGUGGCGAAGUCGGCGAUGCGCUUGCUGGACGACGGCAACACUCGGGCCGCCUUCGCGACCUCCAACACUCUGCUGGACGGCGGCAUAGCCUUCGUCGAUUUGGAGCCUCCAGCGCCUGCCGCUGCCUCCGGCGCCUUGCUAGAUGCAGGGACGCCCGACUUCGCCGCCAGCGGCGGCUUGCCUCCGCCGGGGGCCGCAGCCUUCGCAGCCCCCCGCUGCCUCUUCGGCCUAGCUUCAUGAAGCCUGACAACCGCCUGGCGCUUUUGUGUAGCUCCCUGGCGAUCCUUGUCCAUCACUGCCGACACAACAGCAGCAAUAUUCCGCCCGUAAGGAAACACUCUCCAUUCACGAACCAUGCGAGAUGUAAAAAAGUCUUCGCCGGCUGCGCGGGGGAUAGGAACAUUCCUAGGCCACCAACCCCCGGUAACCCUCAGCAUCCGCGCCGAAGACUCCCGGAGCUCGGGCGAAGACAUCCUUCCCCCCGGGGCCACGCAAGUCCUCAUCAACUCUCUAGCAAAACCAUCGGAAACCCCAAGCCCUCCCAUAGCAGUACCUAAUUUCCUCUUUUUAGAGGAUGGGGCGGCCGCCGGCGCAGGGUCGUCUCCAGUCUCCGCCACCGGCUUCUUCCCACGGCGGUCCACAUCGUCUUGGCCGGGGUAGCCGUCAUACGGCAGUUGAUUCAAUUCAAAAACCCUGUUCAAACGGUCAUUUGACCCACGGAUAUCCCAGCUACGCUGGCCCUCCGUCCUCGGCACGUACCGGCCAACGAGCCGCACCGCCCCAUCCUCCGCCUCACGCACAAAGGCGGCCGGAUCGCGGUUUUGCAGAUUCAGCGCGAAGGCUGGACUUCGCACCAUCUUCCCACCAUAGGAAGGCAUCUGGCGAGGGCACACUUUGCCCAACGCCCAGCCAUGCGCCAAGGGCCAUACCCCGUACGCCACAAACUCUUCAACCAAAUCGCGCCCACUGCUCAGGCCGGCGGCGCACCGAAGGGCCCCUUCGUCCGCAUCCUCCUCCGCCACCUCAAAGGGCGGGUAUGCUGAGUAGAAAUGAGAACACAUCUCGGACACGGGGAGUCCCUCAUGGUCUUCGACGGUACCCUCAGCGACGUAAAACCAAAACUCAUUCCAGUUGCCCCACUUGUUGCGGGCGCAAGGAACCAACUCGACUACCUGCAUUGUGGUCUUGCCGGUCUUCGGUGUAAACGUGCAGGACCCAAACUGAGCGACUUCAUCCCCAAUCAUCCUCUUCUGCCAGUGCAGGCAAUAGUACUUCGCAAAGACUUCGACUGAUGGCUGUCCGCCGUACGAAGUCGUCGCCCAGACAUACUUCGACAGAGCCACCACGGCGUUCGGUGUCAGCUGAUGUAUCUGAACGUUGAACCUGCGCAGGACUUCACCAACAAAUCGGUGCGCAGGCAGGCGGAGACCGGCGGUGAAGAACGCCUCGAACACAACCAACUCGCCCUCCGGCUCGGGGACUUCCUCCGUCCCCGGGACACGAGCAACUCCACCGCCGAAGUAACCCAGCCGCUGCAUAUCUUGCAUGCGGACCGACGACAUCCGCGACACGCCAAAAUCCACAGAAUCGCCGGCGCGCAGCUCCUCCGCCAUCAAACUACUCAGCGUCUCCUCAGACGAGGCGUCGACCGGCGGCGAGGCGCCGGCCGGCGGCGUAGCGGCAGAGGAAGAAGAGGAGGUCGGCAUCGCUACGUACCAUCGGCGGCGGCGGGCGGUCUGCUUCACUCGAGCCAGAUCUCCGGCGAACAAGAGCACGGCGGGCAGACGAGCAGCAAGACGGUGGAAAAGGCGACUAGGGUUUUCACGGAGCGCGGAAAGUGAAGUUCAAAAAGCGCCGACCCCGCCCCCUUUUAUGGACAGGGCGCGGCUCUUCAGGAAACCCGCAAUCCAACAGGGUGCGGCGCUUCGGGAAACCCGCAAUCCAACAGUACGGCGUCAAUCAACGGUCAUGUCAAAAACCCCCGCGGAACCACUUCGAGCGAGGGAAGCGUCUCCGCCAUCUAGCGACGUCUUCGGCACCAGGUGACUUUGUCGAACUAGUCCCUCGGAGGGCAAAUGUUGGGGCGAAGGCAAAGACGCCACCCUUCGCUCGAGGCCUUCGCUGCAGUCGCUGGUCCGACGGAGACAAAACGGGCAAGGACACCCUUCGCCUGAUUCGGCACCAGGCGAAGGCCUGCGACGUCGUCAUCCCACCGUGCGGCCUCGUCCAGCUCAUAGGCCCGCGUGUGAUCCGGCCCAUUGUAAGGGGCCCUGCGUGGCCGCCGCGUGUUACGGGCCUAAUUUGUAAAGGCAUUCCUGUAAUUACAGUCUGUAACCCCGCUUUAUGGGAAUAUUCUGGGGAUAACCUAGGUGGCUGAGGGCACAUGCGUCCUUAACACAAGGCGCUGGGUGCUCAGACACCUAUAAAUACCCCCGCACAGUGCCCGUGAGAGGCCAGAUUAACAGAGCUAUUGCCCACACGCGCGAGAGCCCUGCUUACGUCAUUGUUCACCCUUGUUGGAUCCCCUUGCAACUGAGAGCAAGUUCCAACACCCAUACUUGGUGAUAAAUGCGGUCUUUGGUAUGUCCAAAGGUAGGAUCCUGAGCUGAUGGUAACCUGACCUCGGAUCUAUCUUCGAGAACACACUGGCUCCUCUCAGCUGAUCGAACAGAUCUUCAAUUUUGGGCAGGGGGUACUUGUUCUUGAUAGUGACUUCAUUCAGGGCUCGGUAAUCAAUGCACAUCCUCUUUGUUCUAUCUUUCUUCUCCACAAACAACACUAGGGCAGCCCAAGGCGAGGUGCUAGGUCUGAUGUAACCCUUCUCCAACAACUCAUCUAUCUGCUUCUUGAGUUCCACUAAUUCUGGUCCGGACACUCUAUAAGAUCUCUUAGAGAUGGGGCGGUGCCAGGGAUAAACUCUAUGGCAAAUUCAACCUUUCUCUCUGGUGGCAUGCCUAGUAAAGCCUCGGGAAACACAUCAGGGAAUUCUGAUACUACUUGGAUAGCUUCUAGUGGAUUAACUUCCUCACUAUGGGCAGUGAUCUGGUGACAGCUUCCUUUCUUUGGUCCGAACAAGAUCAACUCCACCGACACUUCUUCUCCUGGCAAGGACACUAAUCUCACAGUCCUCUCAUCAUAGCUAAGGCUUGCUUGAUAUUUGGUCAGCCAAUUCAUCCCUAGGAGGACAUCUAUGGUGACAUCCUGGGUACCUAUUAUUAUCAGAUGAGCGGGGAACUCUACCCCCCUUAUUUGAUCUCUUGCACUGGGGCAAAAUCUAUCUGUUUGGGUUCUCCCACCAAUUGAACUAACCCUCAUAGGUGGGUACAUGGAUGCUACUGGUAUGUUGUGUGUUUCUACCCAUGAUGCAGUCACAAAAGAAUGUGUUGCUCCAGUAUCAAAUAACACAUUUGCAGAAUGAGAUUCAACUGAGAACGUACCUAGUGUCAGUCUUGGGAUCUCUUGAACCGUGUCGGCCUCCAGGUGAUUCACCUUUCCGUACUAGGCACGGGGUUUACCACGAUUGUUUGCUCCUGGUUGAGGUGCAUUCUGUCUUGCAGGGGCAUUAGGAGCUGACUACUGCUGAGUUGUUUUCAUUGGGCAAUGAUUCGCCUAGUGACCUUGUUCUCCACAGUGGAAACAUCCAUGACCUCCUCCUUGCGUGGAGCUGUUUGGUUGCUCUGAUUGGUUGCUGGGGCAGGAAGGCGAGGUGCCUGGUUGUUCUACCACUGGUACUGGUUUCCUCUCUGUUGGUUGUUGUCACACCCGGAUUUAGGGGUCCAAACCCGGGCGCGAAAUCAAAUGUGUGCUAGGAUCAAGUCUCACACAUAUGAUGACUCAUUAUUAAUAUAUAACAGAGUUAUGUACAAAACAGAUAAAUAAUUACAUCAUACGAAGACAACGAUCUAACAACCAAGUUAAUAGGGAGACAACGACCUAGACCACUCACGAACUCAUCAUAGCAUCCUUCAUGCGCUUCAGCAUGUGGUACCUAUUCUUGACCUGAGGGGGGGAAUGUGAGUACAACAAGGGUGAGCUCACAUACGUUCAUCGCUCAACAAGUUGUGGGUAAUAAUGUGCAUGAACUCACCAAAGGUGGGAGCUCAUGUGAAGUGUAAGGCUUACCAAAGGAGAUGGUUAAAGCUGAGCAUUACUUUUAAAGUAGGUCAAAAUUUUAUUAGCAGUUACUGUUGGUGUUUCGUACCGGCAAUGCACCACGGGAUGUACCAUGAGAUACUUUUGUGAGUUGGCAACAUCAGCUGUAGCUCAAUGGUUUGCUUCGAGAUGCGACAUGACACACGAUUUAUACAGGUUCGGUCCGCGGGAUGCGUAAUACCCUACAUCCUGUUUGGGGUGGGUUGUAUUGCUUUGAUAUCUGAAGGUUACAAUGAGGGUUAGGGUUUGGAUGUUUUUGAUGAGAGAGCGGGGGCGUGUAUGAGAUUAGAUCUCCUAAGAUCUGCCUUGGGAGGGAUCCCUAGCUUGUCUUAUAUAAUCCUGCGUGGCUUGGGUUACAAGUCAGUUUCCUUAUAUAUCUCCUAGAUGGUUUAAAUUACAAUAGAUUCCUUGUCUUGUGCGCCAAGUUUGUUUAGUCCAUUAGCCUGAGUCAGUCGGUCGGCCCAUGUAGAGAAUACAUCUCGUUUGGACCCAGGGGAUAUCCAUCCCCCACAAGCCCUCGACUUCAAGUUGACUUGAGAAACAAUCAGCUUGAAGAUCCAAAUUCUGCUUUCUGAGGAUUUUUCCUUGUAGUCUUCAAAAGUUUCUGAUGGUAUCCUCCAUUCGAGGAUCAAGCAACUUACUCCUCUGUCACACCCGAGUUUUAGGGGUCCAAAACCCAGGCGCGAAAUAAUCACCAAGUGUGCUGGGACCAAGUCUCGCACAUAUGAUGACUCAUGGUACAUAAACGAAUGUCACAUCUUUACUAUAUAAUAGGAGUUCUGUACAAAAUAAAUAAAUAAUUACAUCAUAUGGAGACAACGAUCCAGCCACCCAAAGUUGACUAGGAGACGAUGGCCUAGACCUCUCACGAACUCGUCACAACAUCCUCCAUGCGCCUCAUCCUGCGGUACCUGUUCUUGACCUGCGGGGGUGUGAGACAACAAGAGUGAGCUUACAUACGUUCAUCGCUCAACAAGUUGUGGGGAAUAAUGUGCAUGAACUCACCAAAGGUGGGAGCUCAUGUGAAGUGUAAGGCUUACCAAAGAGGAUGGUUAAAGCCGAGCAUUGCUUUUAAAGUUGGUUAAAAUUUUAUUAGCAAUUACUAAGUAUAAGUAGAUACCAACCCAAUUAAGUACUAGAACAAAAGUGAUAACAACACAUGCGAUGCAAUGCAUAUGACAAAUUGAAUUUUAGUUCCAUAAGUUAAUCAUUUGAGUGUCCGAGCUGCUCAUGACUGUGAGCACGGCUAGUAUACCAGUUUUACACUCUGCAGAGGUUGUACAUCUUUACCCACAAGUAAUAUUACCCAUCUGCCAAGGGACCGCGACUUCCCAUACACCUCUACCAAGGAGGCGAGGCAGGGUAACACUACGAGGCCUUUACAAAGUUUCACUAGCUUCACAAAACCCGCUAUAGUUUCUAGGAAGCUCCAAUGCAGGGGCCCCUCGCCUCACUGCCAUCUGAGCAAAAUCAACCCAAGGGCCUCCCUACACUGACCACUCCCCUAUUGUAACACUAUAAAAACCAUCAACUAAAAAUAAUGCAUUUAGUUUAUUAAUGGUAAUUAUGGUAAUGAUUUUUCUUUUAAGUGUUUGAUUUUUAUUUGCAUUUAGAAUAAUUUUUGUUUGCUCAUAUUUGAUUUUUGGAUGUUUAGUAGAAAUUCUUUUACAUUGAAAAUCCAAUUAAAUAAUAUAGAAAUAUUGGUCCAAAGAUUAAAAUUUUACUUAUAAAUAACUUUGGUAUAAUUUUAUAUGAUUUUUAGAAUUUUUAAAAAUAUAUUUAUUUAUAUUUUUAAAUAGAAAAAGAAAAGAAAAAAGAAAAGAGACAAACCCUAACCCUAGCCGCUGGCCCACUGACGGCCCAGCCGACCGUGCCCCAUUUCCCCUCCCCUCCCUCUCACCGCCAGGUGGGGCCCACCCGGCCCCCCUCUCUCUUCUCCCUCCCUCCUCUCCUUCCCCGCGCCACCGCCGUGACGCGCCCAUGCGCCCUGCGCGCCCGGCCGUCCCGCGCCUCGCGCCUGUCCGCCUCUCGAGACGGAAACCACCGCGACCCUCUCUCUCCCUCCUCCCCCACAUUCUCUCCCUAAUGGCGCCAUUGAUGGCCGGCCGCCCUCCCUCUCCCCGGCGCCCUCUCCUCUCCCUCUCUCGCUCUAUAAAAGGCCGAGCUUCACCCUCUCUCUCCCUCCCCGAGCUUUCUCACUCUCUCUUGCUCUCCUCGCUCGCCCGCGCUUGCCGUCGACCGGAGCCACGCCUCGCCACUCGCUGGAGCCGCGCCCCACACCCCGGCCGAGCCCCUCCCCUGCCCGACCGAGCCCUCCCCUGCUCGCCGACCUCCAUGCACACGAGCAAGAGCUCAAGGUAGAAGAAAGCCAUUUUGCGUUUUGGACCUCCGAAUUUCCACAAAUUAUUUCUAUAUUUUCUGCAUCACAAAUGUAUGUAAAAGUGAUUCAAAAGUCUAUUAUUAGUAUUAAAGAAAAUAAUUAGCAUUUAUUUUCCAUAAAUAUUGUUAAUACAUGUUUAUCUAUAUAAAACUAGUGUCAUAAUCACUAACUCAUAUUUUCACCAAUAGUUACUCGCGGUAAUAGUCAUAAUGAUUAAUAAGUAUUUACGCUUUAAGACGUAUUUAUGAGUAUAACAAGUGUGAUGUAUGAAUGUGUAUGUAAUGGUGAAUGAUUACUCCUGUAAUGGUGUAUGUUUAUUUAUUUGGCGUACGUAUUCUUUUUGUAUGUACGAUACGCAAAUCGAUGCUAUAUGUUGAUUGUGGGGUAGAUGAACCAAACUCGUUCGAGGACGACCCACAGGACACUUUCGAGCUAGGCAAGUGGAUUCUUCCUCCGCAUAUUCUAUUUGUACCCAAGUAAUGCAUAUAAUAAUGUUUACUUUUUGGAUAUAUUGCAUAAUUUGAUGGGAUUUGCCUAAAUAAGGAUUUCCUAGAAUUACCAACACUAUUCAUUGAAUUACCCUAGGAUAAAUGCUUUGCUUAGCAAUUUUUGCUAUUGCUCAACUUGAUGAAUAUGAUGUCACUCUUUUAAUGAUACUAUGUUCCAGAAAUGUAGUUUAUUUAUGUUGUUAACCCGAUGGUUAAACAAGAACAUUUUGUGUUAAAUGGAACAUGGAGUGACUACCCAGGAUAACAGUGAAACCAUAAGUGCUAUCAUGGCUCUGGCUUUGGUAAUUAGCUCUAUAGACUUAAUGCUUAGCUACCCUACCUGUAAGAUGGGCAAGAGGGGGCGGCAGUGGUUUGGUGGUAGCUCAUGUUAACAUGGGGUGGUAGUCUUGGCUAAGUUACCUCACCCAGAGGGCCAUCAAUACUGACGUGGAAACCUUAGCGGGUGGCUUUGUACUAAGGAUAUUUUGUGAAAGCCUCAUAAAGGAUCCCUAGCCAUUCACCUCGGCACUGUUUACGGGUCCGAUCAACCCAGGCUAGAUGAGAUACAUGGCUUGUGGGUAAAGUUGUACCACCUCUGCAGAGUGUAAAACUGAUAUGUCAGCCGUGCUCACGGUUAAGACCAACCUGGACCCUCACAUGAUAAUUGAACUUAAAGAUGGACAAUAAAUCGAGAUCUGAUGAUCUACAAAUGGUUUGCUUAAGUGGUUUCACUUAAGUGCUUUUGAUAUACUCCUAUAUCUUUGAUUAAUUAGGAUACUUGGGAUACACACUUAUUAGUAAGACAUGUGUUGCUAAUAAAAUAUUGACCAACUAAAAUGCUUACCGCUUAUCCAUAGCCUACCUUGUUAACUUGCAUUAAUUUCCCCCCACUUGCUGAGCCCCGACCAUAAGUGAGCUCACCCUUGCUAAUAUUUUGAUCAGAGGGUGUUGCUGAAGAUUUCGCUGCGCCAGUCACCUUCCUGUGGAAGAGUGCCCAUAUUUAAUUCCGCCCUACUUUGAUUUUGAUACUUGUUAAAGAUACAAUGAUUCAAAUCAUGUAAUAAAGUACUCUACUCUAUUUAUGCCUUUAUUGCAUUGUCUUUUGAUAUAUUUCACUUGUGACGUCAACAUAUGUGUGAGAAAUGGAUCCUGGCCCACAUAUGCCAUGCAUUCGGUUUUGCCCCUAGAACCGGGUGUGACAGAAGUGGUAUCAAAGCAAUGUUGACUCUAGGUCAUUAGAUUAGUUAGAAAUGGAAAGCCAAGACUGUUCAAAACAUGCUAAUUUUGUUCUUACAAAAUUAUUUUAUUAACCUUAGCUCUUUAAACAUCAACUAAGUUGACAUUUUCUCUUAUAGAUGGUCUGUACCAUUCAAACCACUCGUAUCAACACCAACUUCAUCACUCCGUCACAACAAGUUCCUGUCUACCCAGUGGUAGUUGAGGAAAUCCCUAUGGAUCUCCCUCGCAUUCGGGUGGAGAACGGAGUCAUUCUGGAGGACAGCUCGGAGGAGUUUCUGCCUAUGCCCACCCCGUUGGCAGAAUCACUAGCCUUCGUAGGUGGAUCAUCAGCUUCAGCACCGCCAGCACCAGCAGUCCAAGCCCCUGCUCCCGGAGGCAACGACCCAGACGACUCUGGUGACGAGGAUGAAGACGACGAGGAAGAAAAAGAAAAUGAGGAAAACCUCAACGAUGAAGCCAACAAAGAACAGCAGGACCACUACAUGGGGUUAUGGCCUGUCACUGAACAUUACACCUUAAUGUUCGAGACAGGGCACUUUCCUAACCUGCUGCAGGAUGUUUUGCACGCAUUGGGAACCUACGUCCGACCCCUGUACGAGACCAGGCGAGUGUACGAGCCUCUUCGGGCUUGCUACUACAUCACUCGCAUUCAUGUCAGUGUAAUGGAUGCAUGUGAUAGAGGGUUUAAGACUCUGUCAGCACAUGAGUCUCUGACGCCGCUAUCCACCUAAACUUCUUUGGUCAGCGAUGCUGCUAGGCGAACUCUGUGGUCUCUCAGCCACACCUACCGGCAGCAGCUGCACAAUAUGAAGUACAUACAUCUUCCUCUAUGUAUUCGUGGAGAGAACCAGACCAACAUUGUUCCAGGUGGAGCAAAUGAAGAUCGCCUCAACACCCUAGCUGGUGUGGUGGCAGGUCUUAACACCGACCUGGAUAGUGCUACCCUGGACCUCUCUAGGGUACACUUGCAGCUGGAGGAUGCACAUGCAAGGAUCGCAGCCCUGGAAGCUCAGCUUCAUGGAAGGAAUCCCCCGGAAGUUCAAGUCCCCGCUAUGGCGUUAUCCCCUCCCCACAAGAGGAUCCGCUAUGGAGAACUAGGAUCCAUCACCAGGCUGCUUUAGAUUUUAAAUUUAUAUUGUAAUAAGUUAGUUUCCGCGAUAGACGAAAAACAUCUUUUAUAUUAUUACAAUAUUAAUAAUAACAACUAUGUGAUGGUGUUGUUUGAAAUGUUUGAUUUAGAUUUUUGUUUGAGUGUGAUGGUCUUAUUGAAUGAUGGUCAUAAGAGCAUUUAAAAAAUUUAUAUAACAAUAGACUUAAUAUUAAUAAUAAGCUAUUCCCCUUAGAAUCUUCUCUACUCCUCACUUACCACGGGAGUGCACUUUCUAACCGAACAGAUGGUGAACACUCGAUCAAGUCCCAAUAAUCACCAGAACCAGCGUGGUCAGCAGUUGCCACCACCACCACCCAAUCCCACGAUGGAUCAGUUCAUCGCGGCGCAGAAGCAACUUCUGCAAGGACUUAUAGCAGUAGUACAACAGAUUCUGCAGAAUCAGCAAAACCAACAGUACCAAAAACAACAGCAGCACACACCCCAAGCUAGAGCAAGCAUCGGGACUUCAUGAGUCAUCACCCGCCUGCUUUCUCUCCCGCAGUAGACCCUUUGGAUGCCGAUGACUGGCUUAAGGUCAUUGGAAAGAAGUUAGACAUCACCCAGUGCAACGAUCGAGAAAAGGUCUUGUACGCUUCGGGAAAACUUGAAGGAGCCACGUUCGAUUGGUGGGAUGCCUUCACUGCGGCACACGCCAAUGCUGAUACCAUAACCUGGCAGGAGUUUCAAGUGAACUUUCGUGCUCAUCAUAUUCCCUCGGGAAUUAUGAAACUAAAUAAGGAGUUCCUUUCCCUCACUCAAGGGAACAUGACCAUCAGUGAGUAUCAUGAUUGCUUCACCCAGCUUUCACGUUACGCCCCAGAGGAAGUGGACACCGACGAAAAGCGCCAAGAACGUUUCUUGGAAGGCUUGAUGGGACCAUUGAACUACCAGCUACAGAGCCACAGUUUCCCCAAUUUCCAGACUUUACUGAACAGGGCAAUUGGCCUUGAAAACAAAAGGAAAGAACUGUCCAAUCACAAAAGGAAGUACCAAGAGCAGACCAGCAGAAACACUCGGCAAAACAACUCCCAAGGUUCUCAGUUCCGCUCCGGAAACUAGAGUGGGAACAACAACUACCAAGCACAGCGCUCUGGACAACAAAAUCAGAGGAACAAUCAAUACCAGAACCAGCAGAGAAGAAACACCCAGACCAGCCAAAGGUCUAGUGGGCAACAAUAGAACCGUCAGGGAAGCGCCGUGAACACACCGGCCAAGAACAACAACACAACAACCCUAGUUCAACCCAAUGGCUAUUUUAAGUGUGGCGAACUUGGCCACUAUGCCAACAACUGCCCCAGACGUAACCCAUAGACACGCUAGAAGAACAACAACAAGAGGAAUGACCAGAACACCCCUGCUCGUGGAUCUGCACAGAACAAGACUCCACAGAACCAGAGUAGAGGAAGAGUCAACCAUGUGACAGCGGAAUCAGUUCCUGAGGAUGCCAACGUGAUGUAUGGUAUGCUUCUUAUUAACUCCAUACCUGCAUCAGUUUUAUUUGAUUCUGGAGCAUCUCAUUCCUUCUUAACAAAGUCAUUCGUGGAAAAACAUAAUAUACCAAACUAUCCCUUGAAGAAGAAACUAUUGAUUCGAUCACCAGGAGGUGAACUUAGAGCCACUCACUCAUGCCCUCAGACUAAGAUUAAAAUUAGAGGACUAAGCUUUCUAGUAGAGCUGAUAAUUUUGGAAUCAAGUGGAAUCGAUGUGAUACUCGAAAUAGACUACUUGACCAAGUAUGAUGGAGUAAUAUCUUGUGCUAAGAGGAUGGUUACAUUAACUAGUCCACAAGGAGAAAGAAUUGAAGUCAAUGUCAGUAUGCCAGCAACAGUAGAGACAAUGGUAAAUCAGUUGGAAGAGAAAUCUUUGGAGCACAUUAGGAUAGUGUGAGUAUACCCAGACGUAUUUCCGGAGGAAUUACCAGGUAUGCCACCUGAUCGUGAUAUAGAGUUUUCUAUUGAACUAUUACCCGGAACCGCACCCAUUUUGAAAAGAGCUUAUCGAAUGGAUGUCAAAGAUUUAAUUGAACUGAAGAAACAAAUAGAAGAAUUACUAGAAAAAGGUUUCAUUUGCCCCAGUUCAUCACUAUGGGGAGCCCUAGUUCAAUUCGUGAACAAGAUAGAUGGUUCAAGAAGAAUGUGUGUGGACUAUAGAAGUUUGAACGAAGUAACAAUUAAGAAUAAGUACCCAUUACCUCGGAUUGAAGAUUUUUUUGAUCAGAUGAGAGGAGCUACAGUAUUCUCGAAGAUAGAUCUAAGAUCAGGCUAUCAUCAGUUGAAAAAUCGGACUAAAGAUAUACCUAAAACAGCUUUCACUACAAGAUAUGGACUAUAUGAGUUUUUAGUCAUGUCUUUGGGACUGACUAAUGCACCGGCGUACUUUAUGAACUUGAUGAAUAAAGUAUUCAUGGAAUACCUCGACCAGUUUGUGGUGGUAUUCAUUGACGACAUACUAGUAUACUCUCAGAAUGAAGAAGCACAUGAAGAUCAUAUGAGAUUAGUUUUACAGAAGCUUCGCGAUAAUCAGUUGUAUGCAAAAUUUUCGAAGUGUGAUUUUUGGCUGAAGGAAGUUGCUUUCCUAGGUCAUAUUAUCACCAGUGGAGGAAUCAAAGUAGACCCUGGUAAAAUAAGUGAAAUACUAAAUUGGAAACAACCCAUAGAUGUGUCCAAGAUUAGGAGUUUUCUUGGAUUAGCAGGAUGCUACAGAAGAUUUAUCAAAGGCUUCUCCAAAAUAGUGAAACCCCUUACUUCACUGUUGGAGAAAGGUAAAGUGUUCAAGUGGGAUGAAACAUGCCAGAAAUGUUUUGAGGAAUUAAAGGAAAGGCUAACCACUGCACCAGUGUUAAUUAUGCCUGAUAUUCAUAAAGGAUUUGAUGUGUAUUACGAUGCAUCACAUCUAGGACUUGGAUGUGUGUUAAUGCAAGAAGGAAAAGUGAUUGCCUACGCUUCAAGGCAGUUACGGAAGGAUGAAAAGAAUUACCCUACACAUGACAUGGAAUUAGCUGUCGUAGUGCAUGCUUUGAAGAUUUGGAGGCACUACAUGAUUGGAAACAAGUGUAAAAUCUUCACAGAUCACAAAAGCUUGAAAUACAUCUUCACGCAGAAAGAACUCAACCUAAGACAGAGAAGAUGGCUUGAGUUAAUUAAAGACUAUGAUUUGGAAAUACAAUAUCACCCAGGAAAAGCAAAUGUAGUGGCAGAUGCUUUGAGCCGUAAAGGUCAAGUGAACAACAUCACUACUUAUUUGAUGUCACAGGAAUUGUGUUGGGAGAUGGAACAACUCAACCUUGGAAUGCUCAAUAAUAUGGAAGCAACAGUUAUGGAAGUUGAAUCUACUUUAGAAGAAGAGAUUCGUAAAGGACAAGAGUCUGAUGAGAAAAUCAAGGAAAUUAAGAGACAAAUUAGUUUGGGAAAAGCCCUAGAUUUCACAGAAGAUGAUCAAGGCACAGUAUGGUUUAAAAAGAGAAUUUGUGUACCAGAAAUCAAGCACCUACGCCAACUUAUCUUAAGAGAAGCCCAUGAUUCAGCUUAUUCUAUUCACCCUGGAAGUACUAAGAUGUACCAGGAUCUUAAGGAAAAGUAUUAGUGGUAUGGUUUGAAAAGAGAUGUGGCUACUCAUGUUGCACUAUGUGACGUGUGUCAACGAGUGAAAGCCGAACAUCAAAGACCAGCAGGAUUGCUACAACCUCUAAAAGUACCGGAAUGGAAAUGGGAAGGAAUUAGUAUGGAUUUCAUAGUUGGACUACCCCGUACUCGGGAUGGCUAUGAUUCAAUAUGAGUUAUAGUGGACAGGUUGACUAAAGUGGCACACUUUAUACCUUUGAAGACAACUUACUCAGGAGCCCAGUUGGCAGAGUUAUACAUGUCAAUAAUUGUGUGUGUGCAUGGAGUACCAAAGAAGAUUGUAUCGGAUCGAGGAACCCAAUUUACCUUGCGCUUUUGGAAAAUACUACAUGAGUCCAUGGAUACCAAGCUAAACUUUAGCUCAGCUUAUCAUCCGAAACCGAUGGGCAAAUGGAAAGAACAAACCAAGUGUUGGAACAUAUGCUAAGAGCUUGCGCUCUAAAGCAUGGUAGAAGCUGGGAUAAAAGUUUGCCUUAGGCAGAAUUCUCGUAUAACAAUAGUUACCAAGCAAGUCUAAAAAUGGCACCGUUUGAAGCACUUUAUGGACGAAAGUGUAGAACACCGGUUUAUUGGAAUCAGACCGGAGAAAGUCAAGUAUUUGGUCCAGAAAUUCUCCAAGAAGCAAAAAAGCAAGUACAGAUUAUCAGAUAGAAUUUGAACACAGCACAGUCGAGACAAAAAGCUAUGCUGACAAUAGAAGAAUAGAGUUAAUAUUCGAAGUAGGAGACUUCGUAUACCUUAAAGUUUCACCGAUGAGAGGCAUGAAAAGAUUUAAGGUUAAGGGUAAACUAUCUCCUCGCUACAUUGGUCCGUUCAAGAUUUUGGAAAGAAAAGGUGAAGUAGCGUACCGGUUGGAGCUACCCGAUAGUUUGUCAGAUGUGCAUGACGUAUUUCAUGUGUCACAACUUAAUAAAUGCUUAAGAGUACCGGUGGAACAAUAACCUAUGGAAGAACUCAAUGUUAAGGAAGAUUUGACUUAUUCGGAGUACCCUAUCAGAAUUUUGGAAACAUCUCGCAGAAUUACACGGAGUAAAGUUAUCAACAUGUGCAAAGUUCAGUGGAGUCAUCAUUUAGAAGAUGAGGCCACUUGGGAAAGAGAAGAUGAACUUAGAGUAGAAUUCCCCCAGUUAUUCUCAGAAGUUCCUUAAUCUCGAGGACGAGAUUCUUUUAAGGGGGGUAGGUUUGUAACCCUAUUAAAACCAUCAACUAAAAAUAAUCCAUUUAGUUUAUUAAUGGUAAUUAUGGUAAUGAAUUUUCUUUCAAGUGUUUGAUUUUUAUUUGCAUUUAGAAUAAUUUUUGUUUGCUCAUAUUUGAUUUUUGGAUGUUUAGUAGAAAUUCUUUUAUAUUGAAAAUCCAAUUAAAUAAUAUAGAAAUAUUGGUCCAAAGAUAAAUAUUUUUAGUUAUAAAUAAUUUUGGUAUAAUUAUUAUGAUUUUUAGAAUUUUUAAAAAUAUAUUUAUUUAUAUUUUUAAAUAGAAAAGAAAAGAAAAAGAAAAGAGACAAACCGUAACCCUAGCCGCCGACCCACUAACGGCCUAGCCGGCCGCGCCCCAUUUCCCCUCCCCUCCCUCUCACCGCCAGGUGGGGCCCACCCAGGCCCCCUCUCUCUUCUCCCUCCCACCCGGGCCUCCUCUCCUUCCCCGUGCGCCCGGCGCGCCCCGCACCCGUCCGCCUCCCGAGCCGCAAGCCGCCGCGACCCUCUCUCCCUCCUCCCCACAUUCUCUCCCAAAUGGCGCCAUUGAUGUCCGGCCGCCCUCCCUCUCCCCCCCGGCGCCCUCUCCUCUCUCUCUCGCUCUAUAAAAGGUCGAGCUUCUCCCUCUCUCUCCCUCCCCGAGCUUUCUCUCUCUCUCGCUCUCCUCGCUCGCCCAUGCUCGCCGUCGACCGGAGCCACGCCUCGCCACUCACCGAAGCCACGCCCCGCACCCCAGCCGAGCCCCUCCCCUGCUCGCCAACCUCCCUGCACACGAGCAAGAGCUCAAGGUAGAAGAAAGCCGUUUUGCGUUUUGGCCCUCUGAAUUCCCGAAAAUUAUUUCUGUAUUUUCUGCAUCACAAAUGUAUGUAAAAGUGAUUCAAAAACCUUAUGUGCUACUCUUCGAUGUAUACGUGUAGUCGUAAACAAGCCUCGCAACAAUAUUUUGACAGGUGUAUGAAUUUAUAUUUCAAAAACAAAUUAUGUCACUAGUCACUAACUUGGUGAUUUUCAUACUAGAAAUGUUUACGAUUAAUUUCGCUUUAGCACAUGAACGAUAAUUGUUAGUAGUGUUUUAAGUGUAAUUUCAUCGAUAUAAGAAAGUAGAAGAAAAUACUAGACCGCAUAUUUUCGGUCAGAUGAAAAUAGAUUUUUACUAGUCAGAAUAAAUGUGUUCAUAAGUAUAGCACUUUAUUACUUAGAAUUAGUAAAAUACUUGUUUAUGUCAUAAUAACCAUGAUUAUGUUAUUAAAGUCCAAUUAGUAAUUUACAUUAAUUCUUAGAAUAUUAAUGUUAGAAGAAUUAUAAAUAAACAAUUUUUAGCUAUACGCAUAACUUCUAUUUAGAAAUAAAAGGGAUAAAACUCAAAAGUCUAUUUUUAGUAUUAAAGAAAAUAAUUAGCAUUUAUUUUCCAUAAAGAUUGUUAAUACAUGUUUAUCUAUAUAAAACUAGUGUCAUAAUCACUAAGUCAUAUUUCCACCAAUAAUGACUCACGGUAAUAGUCAUAAUGAUUAAUAAGUAUUUACGCUUUAAGACUUAUUUAUGAGUAUAAUAAGUGUGAUGUAUGAAUGUGUAUGUAAUGGUGAAUGAUUACUCCUGUAAUGGUGUAUGUUUAUUUAUUUGGCGUACGUAUUUUUUUUGUAUGUACGAUAUGCAAAUCGAUGCUAGAAGUUGACUAUGGGGUAGACGAACCAAACUCGUUCGAGGACGACCCACAGGACACUUUCGAGCAAGGCAAGUGGAUUCUCCCUCAUCAUAUUCUAUUUGUACCCAAGUAAUGCAUAUAAUAAUGUUUACUUUUUGGAUAUAUUGCAUAAUUUGAUGGGAUUUGCCUAAAUAAGGAUUUCCUAGAAUUACCAACCGUAUUCCUUGAAUUACCCUGGGAUAAAUGCUUUGCUUAGCAAUUUUUGCUAUUGCUCAAUUUGAUGAAUAUGAUGUCACUCUUUUAAUGAUACUAUGUUCCAGAAAUGAAGUUUAUUUAUGUUGUUAAUCCGAUGGUUAAACGAGAACAUUUUGUGUUAAAUGGAACAUGGAGUGACCACCCAGGAUAAUAGUGCAACCACGAGUGCUAUCAUGGCUCUGGCUUUGGUAAUUAGCUCUAUAGACUUAGUGCUUAGCAACCCUACCUGAAAGAUGGGCAAGAGGGGGCGACAGUGGUUUGGUGGCAGCUCAUGUUAACAUGGGGUGGUAGUCUUGGCUAAGUUACCUCACCUAGAGGGCCAUCAAUACUGAUGUGGAAACCUUAGCGAGUGGCUUUGUACUAAAGAUAUUUUGUGAAAGCCUCAUAAUGGAUCCCUAGCCAUUCACCUCGGUAGUGUUUACGGGUCCGAUCAACCUAGGCUAGAUGGGUACAUGGCUUGUGGGUAAAGUUGUACCACCUAUGUAGAGUGUAAAACUGAUAUGUCAGUCGUGCUCACGGUUAAGAGCAACCUGGACCCUCACAUGAUAAUUGAACUUAAAGAUGGACAAUAAAUCGAGAUCUGAUGAUCUACCAAUGGUUUGCUUAAGUGGUUUUACUUAAGUGCUUUUGAUGUACUCCUGUUGGGCUGGAAACGAGCCGAGCCAGGCUCGGCUCGGUCACUUCGCGAGCUCGGUAAUGAGGCUCGGCUCGGCUCGGCUCGCGAGCCUAUACACUCAAGUACUCAACAACACUAAUUACAGUCAUUAGCUCAAAUUUGAAGCACAAUAUGUUCCAUAUAAUAAAAAAUUAUGUCUCUGCACUUUAGUUUCUUGUGAGUUGUGACCAAAUCAACACACUGGUCAUUGGAUCUAGAUGACUGGACACUAGUAAACAAACUAACAACUUACAAGUGAUAGUUGCAGUAGUUUGGACCGAGCCUCGAGCCGGCUCGCGAGCCUCACCGAGACGGCUCGGCUCGGCUCGUUAGUGUAGCGAGAUGUAGAAUUAGGCUCAGCUCGGGCUCGUUUAGGCUCGCGGGCCUCACCGAGCCGAGCCUGAUCGAGCCCGAGCCGGCUCGCGUGCCUCGAGCUUUUUUUCCAGCCCUACUCCUGUAUCUUUGAUUAAUUGGGAUACUUGGGAUACACACUUAUUAGUAAGACAGGUGUUGCUAAUAAAAUAUUGACCAACUAAAAUGCUUACCGCUUAUCCAUAGACCACCAUAGCCUACCUUGUUAACUUGCAUUAAUUCCCCCCCACUUGCUGAGCCCCGACCAUAAGUGAGAUCACCCUUACUAAUAUUUUGAUCAGAGGGUGAUGUUGAAGAUUUCGCUAACGAUGAUGAUGAGUUUUAAGUCUAACGAUGCGCCAGUCACCUUCCUAUGGAAGAGUGCCCAUAUUCAAUUCUGCUCUACUUUGAUUUUGAUACUUGUUAAAGAUACAAUGAUUUAGAAGAUGUAAUAAAGUACUCUACUCUCUUUACGCCUUUAUUGCAUUGCCUUUUGAUAUAUUACACUUGUGACGGCAACAUAUGUGUGGGAAAUGGAUCCUGGCCCACAUAUGCUAUGCAUUCGGUUUUGCCUCCAGAACCGGGUGUGACACCUACUGCCCUUGCCCCUUUUGGGUAAGGUAGUCCUCCACUAGCUUUCCUAAUUAGUUAGCCAAGGCCGUCCCAGACCACCCUUGUGGUAGCACUGUUUUCUCCAUGUUCCAAUUAACAUAAUGAUCUUAUCAUGAACAGUAAAUAACAAACUGAUAAUAAAAGUGUGAUCAUGAAUAAUGUAUAUCUCAAUACCCAAAACCACAUAAAGCAAUAGCAUGUACUACCCAAAAAUUUAGUGGUAAACAAGGUAUAAAGAUAGCCAAACUAGGGUAACCUAUUAGGUCCCAUCAAAAUUAACCUAUGCAGAUCAUUAUGAUUAAUAAGAACAUGAGUGGGUAAAAUGAAGUGAUGAAGGGCACAACUUGCCUCAGACUUGAGAUUCUAGGUACCAACUUGCUCUUCAGAUUCUCGUGACCUCACUAGUAGUCGUAGCAAUACAUACAAACAUGGUAUAGGCAAAAUUAACAUCACACCAAACAUAAGGAUAAACUAAAUAAUAAUGAUCUACUCAUCGCUACGAGAUCGUAGGUUCGAGAAUCACUAAAAUCAAAGUUACGGAUAUAAAGUUAUGAUUUUCGGAAGAUUUGAGUGUGGGGUACAAAAGAAAUUAAGUGCAUAGUUUUAUCCUAGAUUUCAUGAUAGAAUAAAAUUACUAGGUGAUAAACAAUAUUACUAUGAAUCUAACGCAACUUGAAUGGAUCAAAAGGAGCUAAAAUGAAUUACUUAUGAAUUAAACAAGUUUCUAGAAUUAUUUUUGUGCUAAAAACUCAUUUAUGUACUAACUAUUAAGCCUGGUUUGUAGACUGCCCCCGCCAGCGUGUAACACCCGCCACGAAUCCAGCUCGCCUCCAGCCGCUUCUCCCGCACGCCCGCCACGAUGCACGCCUUGCCUACCAUAGGCACGCCACCCGCACGCAGCACUCCCCCUCCGUGAAUCACGGCAGGACCCGCACGCCCAUCCGCCGCGAAGCGCCCCAACACCCCCCUUACCUGUGCAACGGGGAGCAGCCCAAGGUCGUCGAUCACCCCAGCUGCGCCGCGCAGCUGCGCGCCAACACUGGAACCGCAGGUGGGCACCUCGUCAAACAUCGAGGCCGAUAGCGACUCCGAGAUGAAGCCGGCCUGGAACUCGAUGGUGCCCUGGUCGGGGUGCGCGACCAUCCCCGUGACGUAGACCCAGAGGAAGAGCUUCUUGGCCUGGACGCCGGAUAGGUCCGAGAUGGCGCCCUUGGAGAGCUUGCCGGUUAUGGUCCUCUCGUAGUAGACGAGGUGGGAGCCGAAGUGGACGUAGCAGGUGCCGGCGAGGUGGAUCUCGAAGGCGCCCGUGGCCUCGUCGAAACUGUAGGAGGCGACGGAGUCCGGGAUGAGCCCCUUCGGGAGGCCGUACUUGGGGAGUAGGUCGUUCGCCGCGCCGCUGAGCGACAUGACUGACACCGUGACCACUGCGGCGGCGGCGACGACGACGGUGAGGAGGAGCACGAUGCGGGGCAGCGGAGACAUUGCUGUUGCGGAUACUGGGAAUUUUUUUUGGGUGUUCCCUUGUGUUUUGCAUUUUGGGAUGUGCAAGACUGACUAUUAAUCCGCUUUAAACUGCUUCUCGACUUGUGGGAUUAAGUUUUUUUAAUUUUCUAUUAUUUUUUACUUCUUCUAUUUUUUAUCAUAUUUUAGUUUAAAAAUAAACUAGAUGAUGAUAAACAUUCGAGAGAUAGUAUAUAUUGAAAAAGAAAGCCGUGACCAUUGUAUAGAAGGUAGAGGUAAUACCCAGAAAACAACCGAAUUGUUGCUGGAAGCUGGUGAGCAAGAGCUUUUAUGCACCUGGGAAGACCCAAUGGACGAGCAGUGCAAACAGGACAGCAAGGACUCGAUUCGGAGAACAAUCGUGGAGCAUGAUAAGGUCUUCAGGCAACAGGUACAUAGCAAGCAGCACCAUAAUUUAUGAGGUAUAUUUGCACACAUAGACGACGAGAAGUUAACAGACUGCUCCAGUUCUGUAAUAAGUUGACGACCAGUUGUUAGUCAGACCUAAGUUGUCUUGUCAUCCAUGGAAUAAGAACAUUUGCAUCUGAUACUGCUUCUUUGCACCAGGUGCAUGAGCUGCAUCGUUUGUACCAUGUACAAAAAAACAUUGAUGGCUGAAUGCAGUGGCCACAAGUAUCAACCGAGAGCAGAAGGAACUCAUGAAGUGGUGUAGGGAUCAAGGUCGAACCUCAAGUGCAGUCCUUCUACCUCAGGGACAAACCAAUCUGCUCUCCUUGGUAAUGCACAAUACCCAGCUCCGCAGCAAGUACAUGAAGAUUUGAGUCUCCAUGAAUGCAAGCCAGUGAACUGCAUCAGCCUCUUCGGUGAAGAAAACUCAGCAGCCAAAGAAAGGUUUCACGGGGAGAACCAUAAAUCAGUUGAAGAUGAAAGCUGGAGCGCCGCUGUAGAGAGUGAUCUUGACCUCAAACUGAGCAUCGGCCCUAGCUCACAUUCACUAGAAACACCAUGCUGGCUAUUCUCAGGAAGCAGGGAAAGAAACCCUUCUGACCAGCAUCGAUGAGAGCAAGCUCUAAAUAGUUACCUGCAGGGGGGCGACAGGAAGGACGUCUUCUUUUACCAGGCUGAUGAUCAGCACUUCAUACCUAGGUCUCUGCUUAUUGACCUGGAGCCGAGAGUGAUCAAUGGAAUCCAUAACAGCGAGUACAGGAACCUGUACAACCACGAGAACAUAUUUGUCGCUGAGCAUGGUGGUGGUGCCGGGAACAACUGGGCCAGUGGGUAUCAUCAGUUAGAGUUUCUCUGUAUAUCUCUGCUUGGACCUAAUGUUUCCAUUGGAUCAACCUGUCGGUGUUUUGGGUCCGACCGCACACCCAGGGUUGCCCCUCAAGGUGUUUUCUAGGAGUAGGACGGUGUCCACGACUGUAGCAAAAUGGUUCGUGCCGAUCGCACGAGAGACAGUGAACAAGAUUUAUAGGUUCGGGCCGCUUAGAGAUGUGUAACACCCUACGUCCUGAUGAGAAUUCGGCUGUGGUUACAAGAGGGCUCUCUGGGUUGAAGGCACAGAGAGUUUACGUGGGUGGCUAAGUAGGACAGGGUCGAUCCUUCUGAAGGGGUGCCCCCUAGGCCUUAUAUACUCGACCGUGGGGCAGUACAUGUGAUAUGAUAACAACAAGUAGCUAAAAGAUAGUGAACCUCUUGAGUUUAUCCCUACGUAACCCUCGCCGACUUAUCCUCGCAUGGCUCCGUUGCAUGGGGGCCUCAGCGCGGGAAAGUCGGGUCUCUGUUGCGAUUCAUUCGUUCGACGUUGUGGGCCGUCCGGGUCUCACGUCUUCUCUUCUUUGUUGGUUGUCUUUCCCUAGGCCCACGAAGGAAUGACCUUACGAAUUAUUGGGCCCUUGGGCCUUUCGUGAGGCCUUUUACUUCUUUAGUGGACCCAGGGGAUAUCUAUCCCCCACAAGCCCCCGAUCUUUGGGUUGAUUUAGAGGUAAUCAACCCAAAGAUCCAAGGUCCAGAAAAUGACUUCCUGCUGUCUUCUCUGACUCUGAUCACUCGUCCGACCAAAGUUUGGUUUUGUGCUUGUGCCUUAGAGGUCGGCAUUUUGGAUUGUAAGACUCCGGAAUUCAUUGGGUGCACCGGAGGUGCACCCAAUGGGUGUAGCCCCCGACCUUUGAGUAGAUUUUAGAAGAUAAUCUACUCGAAGGUCUUCUUCCAAAGGUUAUCUCCAUUCGCGCUCCUGCAUCUCGGUUGAGGAUUAGUCUUUUCAAUCUUGCUCUACGCCUUAGAAGUCGGCGCUAUACCGGUUUAGAAUAAUAUUCCAUGGGGUGCACCGGAGGUGCACCCAAUGGGUGUAGCCCCCGACCUUCAAAUGGAUUUUUUAAGGAUAAUCCAUUCGAAGGUCUUCUUUUCGCUUGUGGAAACUAGCAUGAGGCUAUUUUGCAUUAUGCUUUGGAGGUCAGCAUUAUGUCAUCAAUAUUUUGCUGCCAAGGUCAGCGUAUAUUUUGUCUUUAGCAGCCGAGUUUGCAAUCCAUCCAUAUCUUGCUAGGUAGUGCAAUUUAUUUGCUUCUGCGAUUGAUUGGACGUUUGACGGACGUUCUCUGUCUAGUCUUCACGUCGCUUCUGUCGGCCAUAUCUUGUACUUUGCUGGUUAUAUUUGGCUUUCCUCUGAUCCUUACUGAUAUCUCAUUUUUGUCUUGAAGUAUUCACUGCAUGCCCUGCACGGAUGUGACCGUUUGAAAAAUAUACUGAUAAUUCCUGGGCGUCCCCCCCCAAUGGGUGUGGGCAAGGGACGGCUUGGUACGCUGAGUGUUUUAGCCGGUUGCCUCUGAGUAGUAAUGCGAUGGGACGGCUAGUGUAAUCAUAUCCUUUGCGCUGUUGACUGGAGUCCCAAUGGGUGUAGUGUUGCAUGAAACGGCGUCCGCCGUCUGACGUGUCUUCAGAUGGGUGGAAGUGCUUAUUGAAUGCCUUGCGACUGUUCAGUGACCGCGGUUAGAAGUGAGCGGUUGCCUUUCCCUUCUAUAAAUAACCCCUUUGCUUCUCUGGUUUCUUCACAUCUCUUCGUUGCUCCUUACUGCCUUCUUUUCCUCCCCUCUGUCUGCUUCCGCCAUGGGCAAGAACAACAAGCGCAAGCGCGAGCCGACUCCUCCAUCGGAGGAUUUCGGUGACUCGGAAUACUCGGAGGAGGAGUUCUCCUCCGAGUCCGAGGGGUCUCCGGCUCCCGUCUCUCCCCCGGCGUCGUCCGAUGACUCGGACGACUCCCAGGGGAUAGCCGCGGAGGUCUGGACGUACAUCCGGGCCGUCGAGCGCUCCGGGCUCGAAGGCUCGGAUGAGUCGGAGUACUCCUCGGAUGAGGAGGACUCGGACGGCGGCGACGAGGGUGAAGACGACGACGACGACGACGACGACGACGACGGCGACGGUGACGGCAGCGGCAGUGGCAGGGGCGGCGGCGACGGCAGCAGGGACAGCACCAAGGGCGACAGCAGCAGGGGCAGCACCAAGGGCAGCAGCAGGGGCAGCACCAAGGGCGGCGGCGGCGGCAGGGGCAGGGCCAGUGGCUAGACGCCACUGGUCUUCUUAGAUGUUAGUAUAGUUUAGUAUAGCUAGAAUAAUGUAGUAGUAAUUAGUGUAAUUUAGUAGUAGUAGUAAUGUAGAGUAGAAUUAGGGAAGUACCAACUCGUGAAGAGUUGGUUUGUAAACUUGUUAACUUCCCUUUAAUGAAGACUGUCGUUCAUCCCCUCUUUUUGAUGACUUGUCAUUGCUUUUGCUGAAUGUUGAACUGAUUCUUUUGAUAUAGUAGAAAUAACGCCAAGCGAUGCGAAGAUUGACAUCAGCGUUUUAGAAGUAACACUGAGCAAUCGAACACAAGACCAGCGUUUUAGAGGCAACGCCGAAUGACAGAAGGUCGGUAUCGGCAUUUUAGAAGUAAUGCCAAGCGACAAAAUACGGGGCCAGCAUUUUUAGAAAUAACGCCGAGUGAUUGAAUGUCGGCGUCAGCAUUUUAGAAGUAAUGCUGAGCGUUUGAACACGUGGUCGGCGUGUUAAAGGACAUGCCGAGUGAUUGAAGGUCGGCUUCGGCAUUUUAGAGGCAACGCCGAGUGAUUGAGCACGUGGUCGGCGUUUUAGAGGUAGCACCGAGUGAUUGAAGGUCGGCGUCGGCAUUUUAGAAGUAAUGCCGAGCGAUUGAGCACGUGGUCGGCGUUUUAGAGGUAACACCGAGUGAUUGAAGGUCGGCGUCGGCAUUUUAGAAGUAAUGCCGAGCGAUUGAACACGUGGUCGGCGUUUUAGAGGCAGCGCCGAGUGAUUUGAAGGUCGGCGUCGGCAUUUUAGAAGUAAUGCCGAGCGAUUGAACACGUGGUCGGCGUUUUAGAGGCAGCGCCGAGUGAUAGCCAGCUUCCCAAGUUACUUUGAGGAAAAUGACCGAGUGAUGAGGUGGCACAUCGGCUUUUUUUGGAAAUAACUGUUGGAUAUCCACGUGGCAUGCUGGGAUUUCGGAGAUGACCGCCGGGUGAUGACUGGGCACCUUUUGAAAAGGUAUCUGGCUCAAGAAUAUCCCUUAAGAGUCGCGCUUCUAGCCGCCUUUGCUUUCCGUGCCCUAGUUCUUGCAUUUCCGCAUCUGAGUCUUCUCUGCCACUCGCCUCCUACUCUGUUUCGCCAGCGAGAAGCAAGAUGGCGCCCAAGAGGAAGACUGCGAACUCGUCUGCCGCAGUGAUCCCCGCUAUCGACCCCAACAGUCAGUUACCCUUCGCAGGUAACCAUAUGUCUGUAAUUUCUGAAGCUGAGCUUCUCCGCCUUGUCUCCAUCGGGGUUCUCCCUCCACGGGAACUCUGUUCUUGGCGGGCUUGCCACGGGACUACUGUCCCAACCGAAGAUACCCACGAGUCAGUGGUUUACACUCCUUUCCUUCUUCGCGGCCUCGGCCUUCCCAUAUCUCCUUUUUUCCGUGGCAUCCUUGAUUUUUAUCACAUCAACCUGACUCACUUGAACCCUAACUCCAUUCUCCAAAUCUCUAUUUUCGUUCACCUUUGUGAAGCUUAUCUCGGCGUGCUGCCGCAUUUUGGUUUAUGGAAGUAUCUGUAUCAUUGUCGCCCUGGGAUGGCCGGGGGGCAACAUCAGUUGGUCGGAGGUGCAAGUUUAGAGAUGCGCCGUGGGCGGAAGACCGAGUAUCUCGAGAUACCCCUCAAAGACAGCAUUAAAGGUUGGUGUCUGGAGUGGUUUAUAAUGGAUAAUUAUGGAAAUUCUCUCCCUUCCCGCUCAGGAAGACAGCCAGAUGUUCGUACUCCAAGUUGGACUGAGUCUCCCACGGACCAAGAAGUGGCCGAGGCAGGCGUGUUGCUUACUGAAGUUGGAUUACUGAAAGAGAGAGGUCUGACUGCCGAAGCUGUGGUCACAGAUUUUGUUUUCAAAAACAUUCAGCCGCUGAAAGACAGGGCCUAUCCGGCAUAUCUUUACCGAGGGCUGGCCGACUCAACCCGAGUUACCAAUAGGAGAAUUCCUUCUGCUGAUUUGGUAAGCCGACUCGAAAUGAUCCUCAGGGGUAAAGUUUCAAACGUUGGUGCUCCAGUGGCAUACUCGGCUUGGAACCUGCCUCCUCCCAAAGAUUUCACCCUUUUUGUGUCAAAUCCGCCUGUGACUGACAGCAAUUUGGGCCUUAGAGUGUGACCCUCUGCUGAGGAAGUCAAUUCUUUAGUUGCUUCGCUCGGGGCGAUUUCUGAUGAUGAACGGCAGGUUUAUUUUGAAGUGCCUCUGAAUCCCAGUGAUGCUGACAUAAAUGAUAUGCUUGAUUUAUUAGCUGAGGAUUCGUCCGAUGCUGCUCCUGUUGGUACCUUGGCGGUGGUGCCCCUUCCAGAGGUUGAUACAACUUUGGAUGUCUCAAAAACUGUCAGCACUCGUCCGAGGCGUCCUAGCCGAACCAGUCAGCCCGAGCCUUCUGCUGAUGAGCAGAAGAAGAAAAGAAGACGCCUCCGGCGAGUGUCCAGCUUUGACGAGGAUGCCAGCACCUUAGCUCCUGCUGCCGAAGAAAUGACUGCAACUGGCCUUGCUGACAUUGAUCCCAAUGGGUGUGCUCCGCCUGCUACCGACCCCAAUGAGGAUGCUGUUUGUGCUGUUGCUGUGGAAGAUGAGUAGGAAGAGAAUGAAACUCCAUUAACUCGGAAAAACAGUCGGCAGUUCGUCGCUAGCGGUGGUAGUAGUGGGGUUCCUUCUCCUGCCUUGUCUGCUCUUAUUGGUCUGCAAGAACUGUCCAUGGCCAAUUUUGAUCAAGCUCUAGAGGAUAUGGUCCCUGAGAACUUGUUGUUGGAACCUGCAGACGUUGAUGCAACAGAAACUUGCGCAGCCGUGCCAGAUGCUGGGUUGAGGUCGUCUCGUGCCUCGUCGACCUUAGAGCACGAUCUCGAGGGCCGGGAUGAUGACUUGGAUCGUCCUGAUCCUAUGGAAGUAGCUGAAAGCCCGUCAACCUUAGAGGUGGUCACGGCAGAGAGCUUGGAUCCUUUGAAUAGCGCUGACAUGUGCCCAGCCCCCGAGGGUGUCGCCGGGGAGGACUCAGCUCAGGUGAGGAGUGUAGGCCACUACCCAGCCCCCGAGGGUGUUGCCGGGGGUGACCCGGCUCGAGUGGGCAGUGCCAACCUUGACCCAGCCCCCGAGGGUGUCCGAGCGAGGUCUCCCUCCUGCAGUUCUAUGGAUGUUCACGUGGGUUCACCUCCACACUCUGGCGGCAUGGUGGUUGCUCAAACUCCAGAUCAGGGGGUCGCUUUAGAGGGCAGCAUCCCCACUAGUCUGGAGUUAGGCUCUGCUGAAUGUACUGAGCUCGUUCCUGCUGGUCUACUGCAAACUGCUUCGGGUGGUGGUCUGACACCUGACUAUCAGCUGAUUUCUCCUGACUUGGGGAUCCCUUCGUUCUUUUCCAACCUCCAGGUGCUGUGCUGUGCUUUAGUUUGAUCUUUAUGUUGCAUGAAUUGCUGUCAUUAUGCUCAUCUGUUCUUCUCGUCAGGCUUUGGUGAAUGGAUUGGCCAGUCAACUGAAAACACAGGGCGCUUCCACCCCAGAAGUGGCUUCAUCUCUCGAGCGUUGGAAUCCGGUGUUGCUUCGGGGUCGUGUAUCUGAGUUGGAGGCCACCAAUGCUGGUUAGAGUCCUUUCUUCUUCUUCUUUGUUCUUGCCCGUGGGUUGUUUUACCUUCUGACCUCAUUUUGUUUGAAUACCUCUUGAUAGGGAUGACUCGGCAGAUCACAGUUCUUGAAGAAAAACAUUCCCAAGAUCAAGCUGAAAUGGCCCGACGAUGCGCUGACUUCGAGGAGAAGUAUUCUCAAAGUCAGAUCGAGUUGAGUCAGGUCUCUGCGGCUUUGGAUGAUGCCAACGCUCUGAGUUCUUCUCUUCAUGCUCAGCUUGACUCUGAGAAGGUAGCUUACGAACCUGUGCUUCGCCUUAUCAUGAUCUUGGAUUCCGAAUGAGUUGAUUUUUGCUUGUAGGAAGAAAAACGCAUUCUUGCUGCUUCUCGCGACAACUUGGACAGAUUGUACCGUGAUUCCAGCAACUCGCUGACCAUCUUGGAGAGGAGCCACCGUUUUACGAUGGAGGAGCUUGACAAUCAGCGCCGUCAGCUGCAAGAAUCCUCGGACGAAGUGGCCCGCCUUACAUAGCUGCUAUCGGCAAAGGAUGCCACCAUCAAGGGACUCCGAGCUUCUAAGAAAUCUAUUGCCCAGGAGUUAGAAACUGCCCAGCAGGCUGUUAAAGUUGCCAAAGAAGCUGCUGUCACUUUCAAAGCUCAGCGCGAUAAGGCCCUGGACAAGGCCAUUCGAGCGGGACGAAUCUUGAUGAGAAGACCCGGCGUGGUUGUCCCUGAAGAUAUAAGAGCUGAUGUGAAUGCUGCCCCUGAUUCCUCGAAUCGCCCUUCUUCGUCAGUCGUUCCUGAGAAAGACAUUGGAAAAUAAAGAAACAGUUCGCGCGCUCUAAGCGCGCAGUUAGCAUGAUCAAGUACUUGUUAGAGGUUAUCGGCUUAUCAUUCGAAUGACGUGAUUACUCCCUUAUUGUAUCAGAAUUUAUUAGUUCGCAAGUUUGUGGUAACGCUGCACGAUGAUUAAGAAGUUUGUUUGUGGGAUAUGGAGAUCAUCCCUUGAACUGCAUAAGCGCGAGUAUGCUAUACUGGUUUAAGCCGUCAAUGACUUUUAGUCGGUAACUUCCGUUAGUAGGGUAUAGUGGUCACCCUAGGUAAAGUAGGCGUGAGCAUGUUGCACCGCCUUAAAUCGUUGCCGACUUAAGUCGAUUGCUCCGUUUGUAGGGCAUAGUGGUCACCCCGAGUUAAGUAAGCGUGAGCAUGUUGCACCGCCUUAAGUCGUUGCCGACUUAAGUCGAUUGCUCCGUUUGUAGGGCAUAGUGGUCACCCCGAGUUAAGUAAGCGUGAGCAUGUUGCACCGCCUUAAGUCGUUGCCGACUUAAGUCGAUUGCUCCGUUUGUAGGGCAUAGUGGUCACCCCGAGUUAAGUAAGCGUGAGCAUGUUGCACCGCCUUAAGUCGUUGCCGACUUAAGUCGAUUGCUCCGUUUGUAGGGCAUAGUGGUCACCCCGAGUUAAGUAAGCGUGAGCAUGUUGCACCGCCUUAAGUCGUUGCCGACUUAAGUCGAUUGCUCCGUUUGUAGGGCAUAGUGGUCACCCCGAGUUAAGUAAGAAUGCAAGUCAAUCAUAAAUGAGCCAAGUAUCUCUGAAAUCUCUCUUUAUUGAUGACGUACUUCCAUUAUACAGAAUACAUGGUCGCUCCGGCUGUUUUGAAAUACAGCUAGGGGUAGAACUUUCGGAGGUGCUCUAUGUUCCAGGAGUUCCCAACUUCCGUGCCAUCCAUUUGGGUGAGGCGAUAUGAUCCGGGCCGAGUGACUUCUGCUACUAUGAAAGGCCCUUCCCAUAAGGGUGAUAACUUGUGCCGUCCCUCCCCCGUUAGAAUUCGGCGGAGGACGAGGUCUCCCUUCGAAAAGAAACGUUGCCGCACAGCUUUGUCGUGGUAGCGCCUUAGAGUCUGCUGGUAUCGUGCUGAUUGAAUCACUGCAUUCAGUCGUUCUUCCUCAAGUACGUCAAUAUCCUCCAGCCUAGUGGCUUCGGCUUCUGCUAUGCUUUCGAAGAUCAAUCUUGGCGCCCCAAACUUGAGAUCAGCAGGUAGCACUGCCUCCGACCCAUAGACCAUGAAGAAAGGAGUGUUUCCAUGCAGGGCCCGGCUAGGUUGGGUUCUCAAGCUCCAAACAACAUAAGGCAAUUCUCUUAUCCAUUUUCCUGCGAAUUUUUCAUUCUUAUCAAAGACCCUUUUUCUAAGUGCCUCCAAUAUCAUUCCGUUGGCUCGCUCAACCUGCCCGUUGGCUCUCGGAUGGGCUACAGAUGCAUACUUGAUCUGAAUGCUUUUUUGCUCGCAGAAGUCAAAGAAUUCUGAACUGGUGAAGUUGGAUCCCAAGUCAGUGAUGAUACUGUUUGGUAUCCCAAAUCUGAAUAUUAUGCUUUGUAUGAAUUCCACGGCUUUAGCAGAGGUUAAAGAGGCAAUGGGCUGGAACUCUAUCCAUUUAGUGAAUUUGUCAAUUGCCACCAAUACAUGGGUGUAUCCUCCUUGAGCUUUCUUGAAAGGUCUGAUCAUAUCCAAUCCCCAGCAUGCGAAAGGCCAAGUUAUUGGUAUGGUCUGUAGCUGCUGUGCUGGCAUGUGCUGUUGCUUUGACAGGUAUUGACAAGCUUCGCAUCUCUGAACUAACUCGGCUGCGUCGUUCUUCGCCGUCGGCCAAUAGAAUCCUGACCUGAAGACCUUCCCGACUAGUGUUCUGGAGGCUGCAUGUAUUCCACAUUGCCCUGCAUGGACUUCCUCCAGAAGUUGCUUCCCAGUGGACGGGAGAAUACACUUCAUGAGAACCCCUGAUGCACCCCUUCUGUAUAAUAUCUCCCCAAUGAGUGUGUAGUGAGCCGACUGUCUGGCAAUGCGCUCUGCUGAGUUCUUGUCGUCUGGCUCUUCUUCGUUCUUUAUGUACUUAAUGAUUGGCCUCCUCCAGUCAUCAGAGUCUGACUCGGGUUGAUCUACGAUGUUGCACUCUUCUGUUUGGUCUAUUGAGAUACUCGGCCGUGUAAUUUCUUGCACGAAAACUCCGGGUGGGACCUGAGUUCGACCGGAUCCGAGCUUGGAUAGUGUAUCAGCUGCUGUGUUACGAUCCCUUUCCACAUGAUGAAAUUCCAGACCCUCGAACUUAUCUUCCAGCUUUCGAACGGCAGCGCAAUAUUUUCCCAUUGAAUCACUUGAACAAUCCCAUUCUUUGUUUAUCUGGCUAAUGACUACCAGAGAGUCUCCAUAUACCAUCAAUCUCUUGACGCCCAGUGAUAUGGCGAUGUUUAAUCCGUGUAUCAAAGCUUCAUACUCGGCUGCGUUGUUAGAGGCCGGGAAUAGCAGCUGGAGAGCAUACUUGAGGUGCUCGCCUCCAGGUGCAGUGAAGAGAAUUCCUGCUCCUGCUCCUUGCAGUUUCAGCGAGCCAUCAAAAUACAUUCGCCAUACUUCUGCGGUUUCUGGAUUAUCCGGUACUUGCUGUUCUGUCCAUUCUGAUACGAAAUCAACCAGUGCUUGAGUUUUGACGCCUGUGCGAGGUCGGAACUCGAUAUCAUGGGAUCCCAACUCGCAUGCCCACUUGGCUAUUCGGCCAAUGGCUUCCUUGUUGUGAAGAAUGUCUCCUAUUGGAAAACCAGUAACUACUAUGACUUUGUGGUCGUCAAAGUAGUGACGCAGCUUGCGGGCAGUUAGAAGUACUGCAUAUAAUAGCUUCUGAACUUGAGGAUACUUUUUCUUUGAUGGACCCAGAACCUCACUGAUGAAGUAGACAGGAUGUUGUACCGGAUAAGCAUGCCCUUCUUCCACUCGUUCGACUACCAACGCAGUGCUUACCACGUGAGUCGUGCAAGAGAUAUAUAGCAGCAAAUCUUCAGCUGGUUGAGUUGGCGUAGCUCGCCGUGGCGGCUUUAGUACUGGUGGUGUUGUCAGGAAUUUUUUAAGUGCAUCUAGAGCUUCUUGUGCUUCUGAAGUCCAUUGAAACUUAUCCACCUUCUUAAGCAGCUUGUAAAACGGCAAGCCUUUCUCCCUCAGUCUGGAUAUAAAUCUGCUUAGAGCUGCCAUACAUCCUGUGAGCCACUGAACCUUCUUUUGUGACCGAGGAGCUUCCAUCUUCAUGAUAGCUUCAAUCUUAUCUGGAUUAGCCUCAAUUCCCCGGUGGCUGACGAUAAAUCCGAGCAACUUUCCUGCUGGUACCCCGAAAACGCAUUUUUCAGGAUUGAGCUUCCAUCUAUAUCUUCUCAGGCUGUUGAAAACCAGCUGUAAAUCUUCGAUGAAGUUUUCUGGAUUCUCAGUUUUGAUCACCACGUCAUCAACGUAAGCCUCCACACGCUUGCCCCAGUGAUCGGCUAGGCAUGUUUGAAUGGCCCUCUGAUAAGUCGCUCCAGCGUUUUUGAGGCCGAACGGCAUGGAGGUAUAACAGAAGGCACCAAACGGAGUGAUGAACGCCGUUUUUUCCUCGUCUUCUUUUGCCAAACUAAUCUGAUGAUACCCGGAAUAGCAAUCUAAGAAAGACAACACAGAACAUCCAGCGGUGGAAUCCACCACCUGAUCUAUCCUCGGGAGCCCGAAGGGAUCCUUCGGACAGUGCUUGUUGAGAUCGGUAUAGUCGACGCACAUGCGCCAAUCCACUUUAUUCUUUUUGAGUACAAGAACAGGAUUGGCUAACCACUCAGGGUGUAAUACUUCUCUAAUAAAUCCAGCCGCGACCAGGCGAGCUAAUUCGGCACGAAUGGCUUCUCUCUUGUCGGGCGUAAAACGACGUAGCUUUUGUCGAAUCGGCCUCGCCUGGGGGUAGACUUUCAGUUUGUGCUCGGCCAGUUCUCUUGGGACUCCCGGCAUAUCCGCAGGUUGCCACGCGAAUACAUCCCGAUUAUCUUGCAGAAACUGGACGAGCGCGCUUUCCUAUUUGUCAUUCAAACUCGAGCUGAUGACAGCCGUCUUGCGCUCGUCAGCGAACCCCAGGUUGAUUCUUUUGGUUUCUUCAGUCGGCCGCAUAGAGGUCGCGGCCUGAGUUUCAUUCGCUGGUACCGUGAGGCCUUCCUCAGGCUUAGAGUUCGCCGAUGUAGAAGGAACCGCCGACGGCUUGGUGGUGAGGGCUGCCUGAAUGGCCACUCUGAAACACUCUGCAGCGCCUUGGAAGUCGGCACGCACAGUUAUGAUUCCUCGUUGUCCUGGCAUCUUCAGUAUCAUGUAUGUAUAGUGCGGAAUGGCCAUAAAUUUGGCCAGUCCCGGCCUCCCGAUGAUGGCGUUGUACCCGCAGUCGAAGUUCGCCACCUCGAACCUCAGGAACUCGGUUCUGUAGUUCUCCGGAGUUCCGAAGGUGACCGGCAUGUAGAUGUGACCCAGCGGGUAUUCCCCUUCCGUCGGCACGAUGCCGAAGAAAGGAGUGUCCGACUCGUGGAGCUCUUUGAGGUGAACUCCCAAGCCUUGGAGUGUACGGGGGAAGGUGACGUUGAUGCUGCUCCCCCCGUCCACUAGCACCUUCUUUACCCGGCUCUCUCGGAUCACCGGAUCGACGAGGAGCGGGUAUUUGCCUGGAUGGUCAAAGUUGAGCCACUGAUCCUCCCGAGUGAAAGUGAUCGGGUGCUCCGACCACCGGUACGGGGCGGGAGGUCCGGUGGUUGCCACCAGUAUCUGGCGGUCGUUGAGCUUUUGUUGUCUUUUGUUCUCCUGCGACCCAUGUCCGCCGAAGAUGACGUUGACCUCCCUGUCAACGCGCGGGAAAGCUCCUCCUCCCCCCUCCUCCUGCCGACGGGGCUGUUGUGGUUCAUCAGGUCCUCCCCUCGGCGGAGGAGGCGGUAGAGGUUGGAAGGGUCGGCCGUGCCCGACGGAGUGCUUGAAAUCCCGGCAGUUUCGAAGGGUGUGGCGCAUGUCCUUGUGGUACGGGCACUGGGCAUCGAGGAUGUCGUCCAGCGUGCGCUCGCCUCCACGAGGUCCUCCUCGGGCGCGAGAGGCGGGUGGUCCGGCGGCGUGUACUUCUUCUCGAGGCCUCUUCUCCCAGCGUUUGUCAGACGGCUGGUUCGCGUCACGUCGUGGCGCUGCUGGUGCAGGCUUUGCUCCUCCGAUGAGAUCUUGGGCCCGCUCGUCGGCGGUGAUGUAGAGGUCGGCUUCCCGGAACAGCUCCUCGGAGGUAGUCGGCGCCUUUUGUAGUAUGGCUCGGACGAAAACCGAGUCAUUGGAUCCUCUGUAGAAGUCCUCGAUCACGGCUGCCUCCGUGACCUCGGGGAUGCGGUUUCUCAUGGUCUGGAACCUUUUAAGGUAUGAUCGGAGAGUCUCGUCCCCCCGGCGCUUGAUGGAUUUGAGGUCCCAUGGUUGCGCCGGCUUGUCGGAGAGGGACUGGAAGUUGGCGAUGAAACAUCGACUGAAGUCUCCCCAGUCGUCGAUGCAGUGUCGGGGUAGAUGUCGCAGCCACUGCAGCGCAUCUUGCCCAAGGACGAUGGGCAGAUACGCGGUCAUGACGUCUUCGGAUGCUCCGGCAGCUCGAGCGGCAGUGGUGUAGACGGCUAACCAACCCCCUGGAUCCUGCUUAGGUUCAUAUUUGUCAACAUUGUAUACCUUGAAGUUGGGAGGCCAUUGGAUGGCCCUAAGGCGUGGAGUGAGUGCAGAUACUCCGCACGUGUCCUCCUGUCGUCGGGGAUGACGUCUGUCCCGGGGAGGGGAGUGGUGGUGGCGGUCCCUCGACCGUCCCCGGGUGGUACCGCCAGUUGAAGCUGUUGUCGACUCAGUCCUGGUGGCCUGGCUUUGAGUCGGGAAGCCAUGAUCUCGGUCAUACUCCUCCCGACGGCGAAUUUCGUUCUCAUGCCGCCGUUCGCGCGAAGCAUUGAUGGAGCUUCGCGCGUCUCGGCGACUGUUGAUGGUGUGUCGCAAAUCGUUCGGCGGGUGAGCGAGCGGUAGAAGAUGGUUGGCCGCCUUAGUAAACAGGCGUCGGUACCCUUCGGCGUCGGGAGUCCGAGGAAGUCCGUCAGCUAUCCGAGCUAGAACGCCUCCGACUUCGCUCGGCGUGUUCAUAGCUCGAGCAAAGUCGGGGUUCAAGUUGCGCCCGAAGAGCGGAUUCUCCCGGCGUUGCCUUGCAUCUUGCUCGGCUUGCUCCUGAAUCCGCCGGCGAUCACGUCGUCGGGAGUUCCUUCGUUCCCUGAAGACGCGUUCUUCCGGAGUUUCUCCUACCUCCGAGACCUCGUCUCGCGAGACAGGCUGCUCCGGAUCCUGCUCUCCGGCCGCGUGAUGUCGUCGAACGUUCCUGCGUCGGUUCCUUCGUCGGCGGGAUUCUCGCUGAGGCGGUUCUUCUCCAGGCGCGGUCGGUUCAUCGUCGGAGACGACGAGUGACUCUGCUCUCCCGAUGAAGAGGACGUCGGGGUAGAACAGCAUUGCUGCCGCGGCGACUUUCUUUCCGUUCUUCCUUGAGAUCGGAGGAACGGGAAGAACGAUUUGCCUCUCCCUGGUCUCCUUCUUUCUCACGACCCGUGUCCAUUCUUUCGUCGGGGAAGUAGACAGCGGACUCUUCCGGGUCAGCGAGCUUCUAGCUCCAGCUUCCCCGGAGACGAUCUUUUUCCGAAGAGCCGGAAGUAGCGUCUUUCCAGCAUUUUCGGAGUUUGUUGGAGGAGACUUCUGUUCCGGCAGAUCUACGAGGCGGUGUAGAAUUCCUUCUUCAUCUGCUACGGACGAGAUUGUCCCGAAGCAGAAUACAGAUCCGGGACGCACGGCGAUUUUGUUAUGGAAGGUGACGGCCAUUGAGCUAGCUUGGAUCGUCGACACACCCCCUACCUGGCGCGCCAGCUGUCGGUGUUUUGGGUCCGACCGCACACCCGGGGUUGCCCCUCAAGGUGUUUUCUAGGAGUAGGACGGUGUCCACGACUGUAGCAAAAUGGUUCGUGCCGAUCGCACGAGAGACAGUGAACAAGAUUUACAGGUUUGGGCCGCUUAGAGAUGCGUAACACCCUACGUCCUGAUGAGAAUUCGGCUGUGGUUACAAGAGGGCUCUCUGGGUUGAAGGCACAGAGAGUUUACGUGGGUGGCUAAGUAGGACAGGGUCGAUCCUUCUGAAAGGGUGCCCCCUAGGCCUUAUAUACUCGACCGUGGGGCAGUACAUGUGAUAUGAUAACAACAAGUAGCUAAAAGAUAGUGAACCUCUUGAGUUUAUCCCUACGUAACCCUCGCCGACUUAUCCUCGCAUGGCUCCGUUGUAUGGGGGCCUCAGCGCGGGAAAGUCGGGUCUCUGUUGCGAUUCAUUCGUUCGACGUUGUGGGCCGUCCGGGUCUCACGUCUUCUCUUCUUUGUUGGUUGUUUUUCCCUAGGCCCACGAAGGAAUGACCUUACGAAUUAUUGGGCCCUUGGGCCUUUCGUGAGGCCUUUUACUUCUUUAGUGGACCCAGGGGAUAUCUAUCCCCCACACAACCAAUCUUGCAGGCUCUGUAGACUUUCUUCUUUUGUCACUUGGCUAAAUGCUUAUUUUCUUGUUUUAGGAAUACAUGUUCAAAUUCCUUUUCAUAUUCUCAUAGGGUGAACAAGUUGUUGAUGAUAUCAUGGACAUGGUUGACAGAGAAGCAGAUGGAAGUGAUAGUUUUGAGUUUGGUUCUGUAUUGGUGGUUGGCAAAGAAUAUAUAUUGUUCGUUUUUAUUUGUGUAUCGUCACAAUGUACAUGCAUUGUACUAUAUAUUUUAUAUGUUAGUUUUCUUACACUUGAUAUUUCCAGAAAUUAUUAGUGAUGAUAAAUCCAAUAUUGUUGUUCCAUGAAAUUUGUUGGGAGAUGGAAAUUAUGGUCAUCAACAACUCUAGCACACACAGUGUGCUUUGAACUAAGGAUUAGUUCCUAUAUAAUGGCACAUUGGCACUAACAUUGUUAUACAUUUUAAUGCACCCGUAGCAACGCACGGGCAUAGACCUAGUUAAAUAUUAAUUAAACAUUUUCUGGUAAUCUAUGGACUGCAGAUACAAAAACCAGGGACCCCAUGGUUGUUUUUGUUAAUUUCAGGACCUCAGCGUAAUAUUCUCUCAACAUCAUAAGACGGCGGGUUUAUUUUUAAUAAAGCCAGGAGCUCAUUAGCAAAAAGGGCGAGUCGAAGGGGUACCUCUUGCUGUGAGCCGUCCGAUCAAGAUCCGGUGGACAAAAUAUAACGACGAAGGGUAAGUAACCGUAACCCCUGAUCCAUGGAUCAGCGGUCCAGAUCCAAUGCAGGCGUGAUCCACUUUGAACGGCAGGAUCAUGAUCAAACGACCAUGAUUACUAGUGACGAAGAGUUAUGCAGUCGUCUAAUCUACACCGCAGGUGACUGAUCCAACGGCCGAACACCAUCUUCCUCCUCACGCGCACACAACGCGGUGGAGCGCUCUCCCCCAUGGUGGCGCUGCACAUCAGAGCCACGCCCGGUCGGUGCUCCCAGAUUCAUCAACGGCAGGUCUAGCACAGAUGCAAGAGGGAACGGCGGUGAACAUAAUGGGGAUCUUCUUACCAUGGAACAAGAAGCGAGGUGCCCCACCCACGUGAUCCGCGCCCCGGCGGCGAGAUCCCAGCAAUCGCAGAAGUCAACACGAGCGACGACAUUGGACUCACGCCCUCGCUCCCAUGCCUUCCCACGCGUGUGGAUAACACGAGCACGAACCCCAGGGCAGCGUUGGCGAGCGCGUACACGGGCACCCUGGCGAGCCGCGGAAGAAGCGCGCCUCCCACAUCUCGUCGGUGUGGGCAUAUAUGCGGGGCUGCGAUAGCUUCAAAAGCUUAGGGAUGGUGAAGGGGAUCCGCGAGCUCCGUUUAUAUACUACGAUGAGGCAAGAUGGCCAAUAGGCGCUCUUUAGCGAGGUUCUCGGUUUGUUACGAUCUCCGAUGAGGGAGACGGAGUUGUCCACAGUGGCGGACCCAGCUGCUAAAAAUGUUUAGGGUGUGCCAAGAAAAAAAAAUAAAGAAACAAACAAAAAAUAAGGAUCAACAAGACUCGAACCUUGAUCACCAAAUUUAAAAUAUAGCACUUACAUCACUAUGCUAACUACACUUAUAUGAUCUUAGGGUGUGCCGUGGACCAUAUGGACCACCCGCUGGGUCCGUCCCUGGUUGUCCACCGAUCAGGCUCCAGUUUUCUUGCUGAGUUCGUUAUGCUCGCGAAUGGAAUGAAACUGGCGACUGGGACCCACCAGGCAGCGACGACGGACAAGAUGCAUGCGCGACUCAUACGCGGAGUCUAUUCGACCGACGCACCGGGCCCACGCGUCACUGACCCAUAGAAAAAGAAAAGCGGACAAGGCAAUUGGGCCGGUGUGGGAUGUGGUAAAAGUGGGCCGCAUGGCAAGGUGUCGGCCCAGGACCAGGUUUUAGAUUUUUUUUCUUUUCUUUUCUUUUAUUCAUUUUUGAUUUCUUUCUCAAAUCCAAAGCUUAGUAGUUGAAUUCAGUUUUGGUGUGAGUUUCACAUAUAGACCAAAUGCACAAAUAAAAACACCAACAUGAAGAAGUGAUUUUAUUAUUUUAUAUAUUUUUUUCUUCAUAGUGUAUAUUGUUUUCCUUUUGUUCUCUUUCCUUUUUCUUUUCUAUAUUCCAUUUCUUUUAUAUUUUCAUUUUGAAUUCAAAUUCAAACUUGGUUUUGGAUUUCAAAUUCAGUUUAAGUUUGAUAGAUCUAAAUGCACAAGCAAUAAAAUCCCAACAUGAUGCAAGGUUUAUUUUAAUUAAUUUAUGUUGACCCUCUAAAGAUAAUAUAACCAAUUAGUUUGGAAAUAACACAUUUUUGUGUUUGGAGUUCAAAUUUUAAUUUCUAGUUUCCAAUCAAAAUUUUGAGUUAUUAAAAUCUUAUAAUUAUCAUUCCUUUUUAUUCUAGUAGAAGGUAAUGGGAAGUUCCUAUCAUAAAUUAUUUUAAUCCAAAUACUUUAAAGAGUGCUCUAAAUACAUAGCUUAUAAAGGAAGGAUUAGAUUGCAUUAUUUUUAAAGGGGUUAGCUUAACCAUUUUUUAAAAAAAUAAAUUUCCCCCCUUAUUUUCCUUAAUUAGGUAUGCACAAAGGAAAGAAAUUUAAAUAAUUCCCACAACACUUAACAUAUAGUAUACUUAUUUACUUAUCUUGUUACUUUUCCAUUGCACAGAUUUUGGGCUUUACAAAUCCUACCCCCCUUAAAAAUAAUCUCGUCCUCGAGAUUAGUAAGAAAAGGGAUAUACACAGAUUGUUUUGGUAAUUGAGAUUCUAGUUUCUAAUUGGUUCUAAAUGAAUAAUUUUUUCUUUAAUUAGUAGGUGAUUAGAAAAGCAUGGGUAUCUUUUAUGUGUAGCCACCCAAUUAUGUAGGAUAAAAGAUGGGUAGGUUAGGGUAAGAAUAGUUUGGUGUAAGAAAGUUUAUGGUGAAAAGAACUCCGGGCUGGGUGGUAAUGCAUCCGAGGGUCGAGUUUGACUUCUCUCCUUCCUUGACAAGGUUGAUCUUUUUCUUUUCCGGUCUUGGUCUCAUUGAGUCGGGGUCAGUGUAUAUCAACGAAGUUGGGGGAAUAUGGUUAAGAUAGAUAUAGGUGAGAUAGACUACAUGAUGUUGGUCAAAAACUUGUUUGAUGUUAGGUGGGGAUAGAUAGAUUAUGCAAUUCAUCAUGACUCUACUGGUUGAGUUAGAUCUUUUGUUCAUGGUUGGUGACAAGUAGGUAGAGCAGCUGGUUUAGUAGGUGGCUUAAGAAUUAAAUGAGAUUAGUCAGAAUCUAGUUUGGUUGUUUGAUUCUAGAUUGGUUGGAUAAGUUGGUAACCUGUUAUGCAGGUCAAGUUGUUGUGUAUAGCCGAGUUGAUCUAAGACACUAAUUUAGGCUUAAUUGUCUCAGGAGUAUGGCCUUAUCCUUUGUACCAGCAUUAAGUAACACACACUAGAUUAGAUCAAAAUAGGAACUAGAUUAGAUCGGUAUAACUAGGUUAGACUAGAUAAUAUCUAAUUACUUUGGAUUAGAUCAUGGUUGUUACACUAGUGUGGGAUAAAUAUGCUUAUUAGGGCAAGAUGAAUCCAUAAGGAUAAGGUAGAAUCUUUUGAGGUCAGUUAGAUCUAUUAGGAUAAGAUAAAAUCUUUUCAAGAUAAGAUGAAUCUAUUAGGGUAAGAGAGUAUCUUUUAAGAUAAGAUGGAUCUUAUGAAGCUAGAUAUAUUGAAAGGGAAUUAGGCUUACACCUAUAUUCUUAAUUGAUUUUGGUGGUUGAAUUACCCAACACAAAUAAUUGGACUAACUAGUUUGCCCAAGUCUAUAAGUUCUACAGGUACCAAAGGUUCACCAUAAGCCAAUAAAAAGAUCAAGAGAAAGGGUUCAAACAAAGGAGCAAAGGAACAACCGAAGGCACCCUGGUCGGGCGCACCGGACUGUCCGGUGUGCCACCGGACAGUGUCCGGUGCACCAGGGGAUUCCAAAACUGAACUUCGCACCUUCGGGAAAACUCAGAGCCGUCGCGCUAUAAUUCACCUGUCCGGUGUACACCGGACAGUGUCCGGUGCCCCAAGGGAACGCGACUCUGAACUCGCCAGCUUCGGGAAAUCGCAACGGCUGCUCCACUAUAAUUCACCGGACAUGUCCGGUGCACACCAGACUGUCCGGUGUGACAACGAAGCAACAGAUACUUCGGCGCCAACGGCUACCUGUAGGCGCAUUGAAUGCGCGCCAGCGCGCGCAGAAGUCAGACACGCCCAUGCUGGCGCACCGGACACUCUACAGUGCAUGUCCGGUGCGCCACCGGACAUCCAGGCGGGCCCAGCAGUCAGAGCUCCAAAGGUCGGAACCCUAACGUGCGGGUGACAUGGCUGGCGCACCGGACUGUCCGGUGCACCAUGCGACAGACAGCCUCCACCCAAACGGCUAGUUUGGUGGUUGGGGUUAUAAAUACCCCCAACCACCCCACAUUCAAGUUAUCCAAGUUUUUCCACUUCAACUACUUACAAGAGCUCUAGCAUUCAAUUCUAGACACACCCAAGUGAUCAAAUCCUCUCCAAACUCCACACAACGCCCUAGUGAUUAGAGAGAGAUAUUUGCUUGUGUUCUUUCGAGCUCUUGCGCUUGGAUUGCUUUCUUCUUUCUUUGAUUCUUCAUUGCGAUCAAACUCACUUGUAAUUGAGGCAAGAGACACCAAUCUUGUGGUGGUACUUGUGGGAACUUUGUGUUCCAAGUGAUUGAGAAGGAAAGCUCACUCGGUCCGAGGGACCGUUUGAGAGAGGGAAAGGGUUGAAAGAGACCCGGUCUUUGUGACCACCUCAACGGGGAGUAGGUUUGCAAGAACCGAACCUCGGUAAAACAAAUCCUCAUGUCUCACUCCUUAUUCGCUUGCGAUUUGUUUUGCACCCUCUCUCGCGGACUCGAUUAUAUUUCUAACGCUAACCCGGCUUGUAGUUGUGAUUAUUUUUGAGAAUUUCAGUUUCGCCCUAUUCACCCCCCCUCUAGGCGACUUUCAAUUGGUAUAAGAGCCCGAUACUUCAUUAGAGCCUAACCGCUCGAAGUGAUGUCGGGAGAUCACGCCAAGAAGGAGAUGGAGACCGGCGAAAAGCCCACUACAAGCAACGAGAAAGCUCUAUCGGGAGAGUCCCGCAACAAGGAGAAGAAGAAGGAGAAGAAGAAGGAAAAGAAGACUUCUUCCAACAAGUCGCAUCGGAGUGGCGACAAGAUAAAGAAGAUGGGGAAGGUGGUCUACUACGAGACCGACACCUCAUCGCCAUCUACCUCCGGCUCCGACGCACCCUCCAUAACUUCGAAGCGCCAUGAGCGCAAGAAGUUUAGUAAGAUCCCCUUACAUUAUCCUCGUACUUCUAGACAUACUCCAUUACUUUCCGUUCCAUUAGGCAAACCGCCAACCUUUGACGGUGAAGAUUAUGCUAGGUGGAGUGAUUUAAUGAAAUUUCAUCUAACCUCACUCCACAAAAGUAUAUGGAAUGUUGUUGAGUUUGGAGCACAGGUACCAUCCGUAGGAGAUGAGGAUUAUGAUGAGGACGAGGUGGCCCAAAUCGAGCACUUUAACUCCCAAGCCACAACCAUGCUCCUCGCCUCUCUAAGUAGGGAGGAAUACAACAAGGUGCAAGGAUUAAAAAGCGCCAAGGAAGUUUGGGACGUGCUCAAGACCGCGCACGAGGGUGAUGAACUCACCAAGAUCACCAAGCGGGAAACGAUCGAGGGGGAGCUCGGUCGCUUCCGUCUUCGCCAAGGGGAGGAGCCACAAGAUAUGUACAACCGGCUCAAAACCUUGGUGAACCAAGUGCGCAACCUCGGGAGCAAGAAAUGGGAUGAUCACGAGGUGGUUAAGGUUAUUCUAAGAUCACUCAUUUUCCUUAACCCUACUCAAGUACAAUUAAUUUGUGGUAAUCCUAGAUAUACACUAAUGACUCCCGAGGAAGUAUUCGGGAAUUUUGUGAGCUUUGAAUUUAUGAUCAAGGGCUCACGGAAGAUCAACGAGCUUGACGAUCCUUCCACGUCCGAAGCUCAACCGGUCGCAUUCAAAGAGACGGAAGAGAAGAAGGAGGAGUCUACACCGAGUAGAACACCCAUCGACACCUCCAAGCUCGACAACGAGGAAAUGGCGCUUGUCAUCAAAAGCUUUCGCCAAAUCCUAAAGCAAAGGAGGGGGAAAGGUUACAAGCCCCGUUCCAAGAAGGUUUGCUACAAGUGUGGUAAGCCCGGUCACUUUAUUGCAAAAUGUCCUAUUUCUAGUGACAGUGACAGGGGCGAUGACAAGAAGGGGAGAAGAAAGGAGAAGAAGAGAUACUACAAGAAGAAGGGCGGGGAUGCCCAUGUUUGUCGAGAGUGGGACUCCGACGAAAGCUCUAGCAACUCCUCCUCCGACGAGGACGCCGCCAACAUCGUCGUCACCAAGGGACUUCUCUUCCCCACCGUCGGCCACAAGUGCCUCAUGGCAAAGGACGACAAAAAGAAGAAGGUUAAAUCUAAAUCCUCCACUAGAUAUGAGUCUUCUAGUGAUGAAAAUGCUAGUGAUGAGGAAGAUAACUUGCGCACUCUUUUUGCCAACUUAAACAUGCAACAAAAGGAGAAGUUAAAUGAUUUAAUUAGUGCCAUCCAUGAGAAGGAUGAUCUCUUGGACUCCCAAGAGGACUUCCUAAUCAAGGAAAACAAAAAGCAUGUUAAAGUUAAAAAUGCUUAUGCUCUAGAAGUUGAAAAAUGUGAAAAACUAUCUAGUGAGCUAAGCACUUGCCAUGAGACAAUUGACAACCUUAGAAAUGAGAAUACUAAUUUGUUAGCUAAGGUUGAUUCUAUUGCUUGUAAUGUUUCAAUUCCCAAUCUUAGAAAUGACAAUGAUGAUUUACUUGCUAAGAUUGAAGAAUUAAACAUGUCUCUCGCUAGCCUUAGGAUUGAAAAUGAAAAAUUGCUUGCUAAGGCUAAAGAACUAGAUGCUUGCAAUACUACUAUUUCCGACCUUAGAACUAAAAAUUAUAUAUUGCAUGCUAAGGUUGUAGAAUUAAAAUCUUGCAAACCCUCUACAUCAACCGUUGAGCACACUUCUAUUUGUACUAGAUGUAGAGAUGUUGAUGUUAAUGCUAUUCAUGAUCACAUGGCCUUAAUUAAACAACAAAAAUGAUCAUAUAGAAAAACUAGAUGCUAGAAUUGCCGAGCAUGACUUAGAAAAUGAAAAAUUUAAAUUUGCUAGAAGCAUGCUCUAUAGAGGGAGACGCCCUGGCAUUAAGGAUGGCAUUGGCUUCCAACAGGGAGGCAAUGUCAAACUUAAUGCCCCACCUAAGAAAUUGUCUAAUUUUGUUAAGGGCAAGGCUCCCAUGCCUCAAGAUAACGAGGGUUACAUUUUGUACCCUACCGGUUAUCCUGAAAGCAAAAUUAGAAGAAUUCACUCUAGGAAGUCUCACUCUGGCCCUAAUCAUGCUUUUAUGUAUAAGGGUGAGACGUCUAGUUCUAGGCAACCAACCCGUGCUAAGUGCCUAAGAAGAAAACUCCUAGUGCAUCAAAUGAUCAUAGCAUUUCAUUUAAAACUUUUGAUGCAUCUUAUGUUUUAACUAACAAAUCCGGCAAGGUAGUUGCCAAAUAUGUUGGGGGCAAGCACAAGGGGUCGAAGACUUGUGUUUGGGUACCCAAAGUUCUUGUAUCUAAUGCCAAAGACCCAAAAUCAUUUGGGUACCUAAAGUCAAGAACUAAACAUGUUUUGUAGGUUUAUGCAUCCGGGGGCUCAAGUUGGAUCAUCGACAGCGGGUGCACAAACCACAUGACAGGGGAGAAGAAGAUGUUCUCCUCCUACGAGAAAAACCAAGAUCACCAACGAGCUAUCACAUUCGGGGAUGGAAAUCAAGGUUUGGUCAAAGGAUUAGGUAAAAUUGCUAUAUCUCCUGACCAUUCUAUUUCAAAUGUUUUUCUUGUAGAUUCAUUAGAUUACAAUUUGCUUUCUCUAUCUCAAUUAUGCAAAAUGGGCUACAGCUGUCUCUUUACUGAUGUAGGUGUCACUGUCUUUAGAAGAAGUGAUGAUUCAAUAGCAUUUAAGGGUGUGUUAGAGGGUCAGCUAUACUUAGUAGAUUUUGAUAGAGCUGAACUCGACACAUGCUUAAUUGCUAAGACUAACAUGGGUUGGCUCUAGCACCGCCGACUAGCACAUGUUGGGAUGAAGAAUCUUCAUAAGCUUCUAAAGGGAGAGCACAUUUUAGGAUUAACCAAUGUUCAUUUUGAGAAAGACAGGAUUUGUAGCGCAUGCCAAGCAGGUAAGCAAGUUGGUGCCCAUCAUCCACAUAAGAACAUCAUGACGACCGACAGGCCACUGGAGCUCCUACACAUGGAUCUAUUCGGCCCGAUAGCUUAUAUAAGCAUCGGCGGGAGUAAGUACUGUCUAGUUAUUGUGGACGUUUAUUCUCGCUUCACUUGGGUGUUCUUUUUGCAGGAAAAAUCUCACACCCAAGAGACCUUAAAGGGAUUCUUGAGACGGGCUCAAAAUGAGUUCGGCUUGAGGAUCAAGAAAAUUAGAAGCGACAAUGGGACGGAGUUCAAGAACUCACAAAUCGAAGGCUUCCUUGAGGAGGAGGGCAUCAAGCAUGAGUUCUCUUCUCCCUACACCCCACAACAAAAUGGUGUAGUGGAGAGGAAGAAUAGAACUCUAUUGGACAUGGCCAGAACCAUGCUUGAUGAGUACAAGACUUCGGAUCGGUUCUGGGCCGAGGCGGUCAACACCGCCUGCUACGCCAUCAACCGGUUAUAUCUUCACCGAAUCCUCAAGAAGAAAUCAUAUGAACUCCUAACCGGUAAAAAGCCCAAUAUUUCAUAUUUUAGAGUCUUUGGUAGCAAAUGCUUUAUUCUUGUUAAAAGAGGUAGAAAAUCUAAAUUUGCUCCUAAGACAGUAGAAGGCUUUUUACUAGGAUAUGAUUCAAACACAAGGGCAUAUAGAGUCUUUAACAAGUCCUCUGGACAAGUUGAAGUUUCUUGUGACGUUGUGUUUGAUGAGACUAACGGCUCUCAAGUAGAGCAAGUUGAUCUUGACGAGAUAGGUAUUGAAGAGGCUCCAUGCAUCGCGCUAAGGAACAUGUCCAUUGGGGAUGUGUGUCCUAAGGAAUCCGAAGAGCCUCCAAAUGCACAAGAUCAACCAUCCUCCUCCAUGCAAGCAUCUCCACCAACUCAAAAUGAGGAUGAGGCUCAAGUUGAUGAAGGAGAAGAUCAAGCAAAUGAGCCACCUCAAGAUGACGACAAUAAUCAAGGGGGAGAUGCAAAUGAACAAGACAAGGAGGAUGAAGAACCAAGGCCACCACACCCAAGAGUCCACCAAGCAAUCCAACGAGAUCACCCCGUCGACACCAUCCUCGGCGACAUUCAUAAGGGGGUAACCACUCGAUCUCGUGUUGCACAUUUUUGUGAGCAUUACUAUUUUGUUUCCUCUAUUGAGCCACACAGGGUAGAGGAAGCACUACAAGAUUCGGAUUAGGUGGUGGCUAUGCAAGAGGAGCUCAACAACUUCACGAGGAAUGAGGUAUGGCAUUUAGUUCCACGUCCUAAUCAAAAUGUUGUAGGAACCAAAUGGGUGUUCCGCAACAAGCAAGACGAGCAUGGUGUGGUGACAAGGAACAAAACACGACUUGUGGCCAAGGGAUACUCCCAAGUCGAAGGUUUGGAUUUCGGUGAAAUCUAUGCACCCGUAGCUAGGCUUGAGUCAAUUCGUAUAUUAUUGGCCUAUUGAGAGUACCUAGAGGGGGGGGUGAAUAGGUGAUCCUGGGAAACUUAAACUUAUAGCCACAAAACUUGGUUAAGAGUGUUAGCACAAUUAUUGCCAAGUGGCUAGAGAGGAGCCAGAACACAAUAACCACAAGAAUUCAAGCACAGAGAUGACACGGUGGUUAUCCCGUGGUUCGGCCAAGUACAAAACUUGCCUACUCCACGUUGUGGCGUCCCAACGGACGAGAGUUGCACUCAACUCCUCUCAAGUGAUCCAAUGAUCAACUUGAAUACCACGGUGUUCUUCUUUCCUUUGAUCUUUUCCCGUUUGCGAGGAAUCUCCACAACUUGGAGUCUCUCGCCCUUACAAUUGAGUUUCACAAAGAAGCACGGAGUAAGGGAGGGAAGCAACACACACAAAACCACAGCAAAAUGCGCACACACACGGCCAAGAAUCGAGCUCAAAAGACUAUCUCGAAGUUCUCACUAGAACAGAGCUCGAAUCACUUAGAAUGACAAACAAAUGCGCAAAGACUGAGUGUGGAUGAUCAAGAUUGCUCUAAGGUUGCUUGGUGUACUCCUCCAUGCGCCAAGGGGUCCCUUUUAUAGCCCCAAGGCAGCUAGGAGCCGUUGGGAACAAAUCUGGAAGGCCAUCUUUGCCUUCUGUCUCGUGGCGCACCGGACAGUCCGGUGCACACCGGACAGUCCGGUGCCCGAUUUGUUUCCAUAAAAAGCUCAUCCGACCGUUGCUUUCUGAUGCAGAUCUGCGCACAGUUGGCGCACCGGACAUGUCCGGUGCACACCGGACAGUCCGGUGUACCUUUCCGACUGUUGGCUCGGCCACGUGUCGCGCGCCGAUCGCGCGGCCGACCGUUGGCCCGGCCGACCGUUGGCUCACCGGACAGUCCGGUGCACACCGGACAGUCCGGUGAAUUUUAGCCGAAGUCGCGGGAGAAAAACCCGAGAGCGGCUGGUUUGCUCCACGCUGGUCUGGCGCACCGGACACUGUCCGGUGCACACCGGACAGUCCGGUGCCCCAGCCCGAAACAGCCUUUGGCUGUACACAGCCACUCUCCACUUCUUUUCUUUUCUUCUUCUUCCUGUUUCUAACACUUAGACAAGAUAUUAGUACACAAAACCAAUGUACUAAGGCUUAGAAACAUACCUUUACUUGUGAUUUGCACUUUGUUCAACCAUGGGCACAUUUUCACAUUUAAGCACUUGUGUUUGCACUCAAUCACCAAAAUACUUAGAAAUGGUCCAAAGGCACAUUUCCCUUUCAAUCUCCCCCUUUUUGGUGAUUUAUGCCAACACAACAUAGAGCAACUAGAACAAGUGCAAAAUCACUUCAAAUAAAAACUAACUUUGAGUUUUAUCCAAUUUUGGCAUAUAUGGAUCAUCUUUUGCCACCACUUGGUUUGUUUUUGCAAAUCAAACUCAAAUCUCUAUCUCUAAGUCAAACACACAUGUUGAAGCAUAAAGAGAGUCAUUUCAAAAGAGAUUGAUCAAAGAUUUCAAAAACUCCCCCUAAAUCCCAUAAUCAAUACUUCUCCCCAC
RNAcentral lists this long non-coding RNA (81064 nucleotides) under Zea mays. RNAcentral describes it as "long non-coding RNA (ZMAY_LNC004836)". The record is from RNAcentral. Lineage: Eukaryota; Viridiplantae; Streptophyta; Magnoliopsida; Poales; Poaceae.